CAGAUAUCUGUCUGGUGCAGGUCAGGAUAUAAUGACAUUAAAAAAAACUAAACCUAAGGAUCGGAUUGCACUGCAAGUCAGAUCAGGUUGGUUUCGCAAUGCUUCUACCUCCCCAUGACUUUUUCUCCCCUCACUCUUCUGACAGCCCACUCCUCUACAAUGUAUUUUUUGCCCCUUUCCCUCCUAUCUUUAUUCACACCCCUCUCUGCCCUUUUAUCCUCCCUUCUUACUCUGUCAUGUUUCUUUUUUUUUACUUUCUUCCUUGCUCUGUUUCUUUUUCAGUCUUUUAGCAUGUCUCUUUAUUACCCUACCUUAACUUAAGUUUGCUCCCCCAUUUAGCUUUCUUUUCCCAACUCCACUACUUACCCUUUCCCCCCAAUCUAUCUGUUUCUGUAAAUAUUCCCCCCUCUCCUUCCCGUACACACCAGUAGAAUACAGCAGGCUGUAAUCUUUACAAAAAAUGAAAUGGAGUUUAAGGGCUUUUUUUUUUUUUUUUGGCGCCAUAUUAAUGACGUACUUUAAAAUAGCAAUUUUCUCCUGCGUCAAAAGUAAUAACAAUAAAAAAAAAAACAACAAGAUGAAGACGAAUUGGUGUUGAGGAAGUAGACAGGAGGGUGGCGGGAUAGAUGGCAGAGGAGGGGCUAAAGGGGUGGGGGGCAGCACGCACAUUGCAAGUGCAAGUCCAAGAUCCAGUGAAUAGGGAUGUUCUCAUUAUUAUCGUCAUUUCUUACUCAUAGUGUGCUUGUUCAUGUUAUACCCUAUCGAUCUGCAGUAGUUAACCCGCGACAUUCCAUUUAGAAUCCCUGUUACGCGUUGUUGGACGUUCUGGGAAGGUCCCAGCAUGAAGUCUAUACUGGGAAAAUAGCCAUGUGUGCUGUAGGGUGCUGAUGCUGAUACAAGAGAGUAAUGCCAAAACUUACAUCACUUGGGACUCGACAUUUUAAAAUAGCGGUUAUAGUUUUUGUCGGUUUUUUUAUUUCGUGGUUCUUUUAGCCCAAUCAUAACGUGGACAUGCAUACACGAUACUUUUGUGAAAUACAAUAAAAUAGUCACUGUUUAUUUUUCAAAGUUAACAUAAUAUAAACAAGAAAACAGAAGGUAUUAUAAUAAAAUGGAUUGAAUGAUUACACUCCCAGGGCUUUGUGUGGUGAUAAUAAAAAAUAAUAAUUGUAAAGCAUAGUUGUGCCUCCAGCUAUAAAGCUAUAGAAGUAUUUUACUAGCCCUCAGCAUUAUCUGUUACAUAACAUGUGCAGGUGUUUCCUCUGCUCCCUCCCGGGACACGGGGAGUUAAUAAGUGUUAAUAUGGUAGGAGGAGGCCAGAGAGUACAGCUCGGGCAGGCGAGUUUGGGGUGGAAGGGCUUCCAUUGGGGAAGGCUGUGGGAGUCAGCGGAUGCAUUCACGGGGCGGGUUAAUGUUUACAUUAAUUUGCUCUCUGGGGAUUACUGCGAUGGUUGCUUUCUAGCUGCCUGUGUGAGUGUGGAUUGUGUCAGGAGCUAACAUGGGCCCUGAAGUCACACCCACCAUUUCCCGCUUUGCUGCCUGUCCCCACGGCCCUCCCUUCUGUAGCCCUCAUCCUGCUCAGGGACUGUACACAGCCCAGCAGGACCAGCUUUUAUUAUUAGGGGGAUGCUGGGGGUCAUAAGAGUAGUAAUACAAUAGCGAGAUGUAGUUAGGUUUGCCAAAACCAACAUAUUUUCCUGGGCACACAUCACUAAACCAUGUUGAAGGGCAGUAUAUUAAAACCGUGUUGCACUGUUGUAUGAGGCAUUCAUAUGUUGCAGAAAUGAAUUCAGUUACUCUCUUAGGACCAGCCUUAGGUAAUCCUACAUAUUUCAGAGCAGUCCUCUAUGAGUGAUGUCAAUCAAUACUGUACGUAGAAGUGAUGUAUGUCCAAAAAAAACAUGGUGAGUUUGACAAUUGUAGUUGCUGUUCAAGGAACACUACACCAUAACUACUAUAGCUUGCUAUACUGGUUAUGGUGCUAAGAGUGUCCUUCCACCUUCCCAGGAUAAAACAUCAUAACUGUUAAAGGGACACUGAGUGCUUGCUGAAGUGCUUUGUAUGUUCUCUUUUUCCAUUUUAUAGAAAGUGCAGAUUUCAAUAGCACGUGGCACCCUCCCUUCCUUGGCUGUCAGUCGGGCAAAAGAUCCUAUUACAUCUUGAUUGUUUAGCUCAGUGGCGCUAAAUCCAAGACACAACAAUUGCCCAGAGCUGAUGACUUGCAAAGCUUUCUAAUUGAGCUGCACUGGGAAGUCUGCAAUUCUACAGUCACAGAAAGUCUUGGCUGGGGAGAAGGAGAGAGCUUGCAAAUGCUAUAGACAAGAGAUCUGCAGUUUUGCAAGCUGGUUUUAGAUAUAACCCCAAAUGGAAAAAAAAUGCAUUGAUUCAUUGAGGUAUACCUACUAAACAGUGUUUAUUUUUUUUUGUGUUUGGUCAGUGAAGUGUCACUUUAAGCACAGCUGAUGCAGGACUGCCCCAUUGAAUAGUGCUUAGAUCAAUCUUGCCUCUCCUGUUGGAGAAGACCGGAUGUGGUGGACUCAAGUAAGUUGUAAAACUAUCUUGUUUACCAGCUCACUGCAGGAUGGUGUCAGAACACACCUGGCAUCAUAACCACAACAGCAGGCUGCAGUGGUUAUGGUGCUUACAGUGUUCUUUAAAGAUGCUCAAAGCUAUACCACGUAAUUCUUGCAGGAGGCUUACAGGUUUUUUUUUUUUUUUACUAACCGCCUCUCCAAAUCAGAUGUGAGUUUCAUUUAUUAACUGGACAUUGCAGGCAUAAAAAAAAACCAUAUUAAAAGUUGACAAUUGCAAAUGUAUAUGUGUAUUCAUAUGCAUAUUUCUAUUUGUAUUGUGUUUGAAUCUGUGAGUAUCGUGAUUGUACACAGCUGUGUAAAUGCAUGCAGUGGUUAUGGUAAGGUAAAAUGUGGUAGAUGGGAUGUGCCAGGGUUAGAUUACACGCAGUACUUGGUGUUAAAAGAUGGAGAGGCGUUAGAUUUGUGAUAUAAGGGGUGUUUAGAAUUAUUGGGCUUAAUUUAGUAUUUGGUACAUGUGUUCAUUUUUAAGAGAAGUUAAGGUGAAAUCUUUUUUUCUAGGUUUAGGCUUUGAGUUCUUAAAAUUGAAGGUAAGUUUGUUUUUAGGUUUUGGAUUUGUCAAAUUUGUCAAAUUUAGGAUAAAGUGUUUAGGGUACAGGCAUAUGGUGUUUGAUGGAUUAUUUGCCAAGUACUAACCACAGCAGCAGGAGCUGAUAUAAAGCAUGCACCAUUCAGAGAUUCCCACGCAAGCAUUUCCUGUGUGAGUUGUUGUUAGUGCGCUCAUGGGAAGUGCACUUGUGACACCACUGAUUUUUACACUCUCUAUACCUGUUCCUGCAGCUCUGCUAUCAAGCAUAGGAUGCUGACUGGACUAGAAAGGACACUAGCCAAAGCUCCUGAUAGUAAUCUACCCGCACGUAAGUGCUUUAAAUAAGCGCCCCUAUAGGACAGGUGUGUACGCUGCUUAAUGGUAGUGUCUUCAAUCACUGCAGAGCAAGCCUAUGAAAAGUGCUGCCAAGCAUUGGGCCCAUACAUAGAGGUUUUCAGAAGCACUCUUAUGGGCUGCCCUGAGUGGGGUAGAGUGGCGACCGGCGCAUUUAUGAGUCAUCCUUUACAGGCAGGCCCACCUUUCCCACAUCCGAUUGUUGGGAGGUAUUUCCUAAUUUAGUGAAGAACAUUGUUGAGACUAGGGUAGAGACAUUCUAUUUGCCAAACAGAGCAUGAUGUGAGUUGUAGCUAAAGUGGCUGCAUAGCCAGAGUUUUUCCUCAACUACUCUUUGCAAAUUGCCAGCAAUUGGAUAUUUACUUAUCUUUAUAUAUUAACUUUGUAUUAUUCACAUUGUUAUAGUAUACUGAAUAUGGUGGGUAAAUCUGCUGACUUUUAAAAGAUCAGUCAGUGAAAUAGGGUAAAAUCAUAUGCUGAAGAAAGUAUCUACAAGUAUUGUCACUCUUGUAGCAGUAAUAAACUACUUAAAGGGACACUCCAGGCAGCCAGACCACUUCUGCCCGUUGGAUUGGUCUGGGUGCCAACUCCCACCACCCUUAACCCUGCAAGUGUAAUUAUUGCAGUUUUUAUAAACUGCAAUAAUUACCUUGCAGGGUUAAGUCCUCCUCUAGACCACUAGAGGGACUUCUGUGUUCUUAAAACACGAAAAGUGUUUUAAAUAACGCUGGACGUCCUCACACUGUGCAUGAGGACCUCCAGCGUCGUCAGAAUCCCCAUAGGAAAGCAUUGAAUAAUUCUUUCCUAUGGGGAGGUCUAAGGCGCACGCAGCCAUUCCCACGCUCCUCUCCUGCCGCCGGCUGACGGUGGCAGGGGAGGAGCAUGGGUGGAGCCUGACCCUGCGCUGGAUUCAGGUAAGUCACUUAAGGUUUUUUUGGGGAGGGAGAGGGGCACUACAGGAUUCUGCAGUGCCAGGAAAACAGAUUUGUUUUCCUGGCAUUGGAAAGUCCCUUUAAAAUUUUAAUAUAUUCAGUAAAAUGAAUUGUGAAUUCACUAUGGAAUUGUAAAUCUGAGGGCAAAAUGGCUCCAAGUUGCUGAAGGGGUUAAAACCACUUCAGUGACAUACCAGAGUCCAGCGCCGCCUACUCUCCGGGAGACAAUGGCCGCGCACGCACAUUAGACCUCCCUAUAGGAAAGCAUUAUUCAAUGCUUUCCCAUGGGGGUUUUGGCAACGCUGGAGGUCCUCACAUAGCAUGAGGACGUCCAGCAUCUUACAACACACUUUUCGUGUUCUAAGAGCACAGAAGUCCCUCUAGUGGCUGUCUGAAGGUAAAUAUUGCAGUUUCUGAAAACUGCAAUAAUUACACUUGCAGGGUUAAGGGUAGUGGGAGUUGGCACCCAGCCCACUCCAGUGGGCAGAAGUGGUCUGGGUGCCUGGAGUAUCCUUUUAAGGACCAGGGCUCUUUUUACAUUUCUGCAGUGUUUGUGUUUAGAUGUAAUUUUCCUCUUACUCAUUUGCUGUACACACUCAUAUUAUAUGCCGUUUUUCUCACCAUUAAAUGGUCUUUCUAAAGAUACCAGUAUUUUCAUCACAUCAUAUAAUUAAAGGACCACUCUAGGCACCCAGACCACUUCAGCUUAAUGAAGUGGUCUGGGUGCCAGGUCCAGCUAGGGUUAACCCAUUUUUUUAUAAACAUAGCAGUUUUAUAAAUGGGAUAAUCCAGCCCUCAAAUCCUCUAGUGGCUGUCUCAUUGACAGCCGCCAGAGGCGCUUGUGUGAUUCUCACUGUGAAAAUCACAGUGAGAGUACGCAAGCGUCCAUAGGAAAGCAUUGUAAAUGCUUUCCUAUGAGACCGGCUGAAUGCGCGCGCAGUUCUUGCCGCGCGUGCGCAUUCAGCCGAAUGGGAGGAGAGGAGGAGAAGAGCUCCCCGCCACCCAGCGCUGGAGAAAGGUAAGUUUUAACCCCUUUCCUCUCCCCAGAGCCGGACGAGUAUGUUUUCCUAGCACUAUAGUGGUCCUUUAACUAUGAUGAUAUUAUAAAAUAUGAUGAAACAAAUUUAACAAAACACACUUUUUCUAACUUUGACCCCCAAAAUCUGUUAAGCAUCUACAACUACCAAAAAACACCCAUGCAAAAUAGUUUCAAAAUUUUGUCCUGAGUUUUUUUUGUAACGUUAUAGGGCUAUAGGAUACAAGUAGCACUUUGCUAUUUCCAAACUUUUUUUUUUUUCUCCAAAUUAACACAAGUUACAUUGUAACACUGAUAAAUGCCAGGAAUCCCUGAAUAACCCUUCACAUGUAUAUUUGUUUUUUUAAAAAGAAGACAACCUAAGUUAUUAAACUUGGGGUAUUUUGACUCUUUUCAUGCAACCAUUUUACCACCAAUCUAUGCCAAAUUUAAAAAAAAUAAUAAUGAUUGGUGAUUUUUUUGACACACAUAGCAAUUUAAGAAUACAUGUACGGAGAACUUUAAGGGUUACUGCUAAAGAACACCCCAAUAUGUGUUCAGCAAAAUCUCCUGAGUACAGUGAUACCCCUCAUGUAUAGGUUUGUCGAGUUCUCUGGGGGCUAAAAGACCUUAUUUGGAGGGUGCACAUUCCAGUUUUCCAACUUGGAAUUUUCACAGCUGGUCAUCAUGCACCCAUGUCCUAUUUGGAACAUUUUUGAAGCUGGCCAAUGUAAUUUAUCCCCAUCAAACCCUAUAUUUUUGAAAAGUAGACACCCUAGGGCAGGGGUAGGCAACCUUUUAGCAGCACUGUGCCGAUAUAGGAUAGUGAUGUCCCGUAGCGUGCCAGGUGUGUAUGUUGCCGAAUUCUGUUUGUUGUUAUUUUUAUUGUAAUUGCUUUGUAUCAUUGUAUUUGUGCGUAUAUGAACUAUUAUAUUGUAUACACAUGAAUGUGGGCUGUGUAUGAGGGCUGCUUGUGGAAUUGUGUGUGGAUGGAUAUGUCACAUUGUGUGUUUGGUAGUGUGUGUGGGCUGUUUGGGAUAUUGCAUGUGAGAGGCUGCAUGUGGAAUUGUGUGCAUGUAUGUGAAUUGUUAGCGGUGUUGCGUUUGUGGGGAUUAUGUGUAUGUUUAUGUGUGAGCUGUUCGUAUUAUUUGUAUGAGGGGAGGCUUAUUCUGCAGGUCUGUGGAUAUCUAGCUGUGUGGGUGGCUUCCCUGGGUUCCAGUAGGGACCAGGCUGGCCAGAUACAGGUCAAGAGCUGCAACAGCAGCGGCAGGCUGCUCUACUACAGUGUGGAUUCCUAUUCACAAGUGCUGGGAGGAACUGAUCUGAGAUCACUUCCUCUACGUUCUGCAAUGCAUAAAUUGAGGAUUUUCCUUCACCACCUUUUCGUAUUAGCAGAUAUCUGAAGUUUCACUGAGACUCCUGAUAGGCCAGAGCCUGUUUGGCCCUAGCAGCCUUGAGUGCCGUGGAAAGAAACCUCGAGUGCCGUGCAUGGCACUAGUGCCGUAGGUUGCCUACCCCUGCCCUAGGGUAUUUCAAAUGGUGGUAUUUUAACAUAUUUUUUCCAUGCACUAAUUCUACCACCAGUCUUUUUCAAACUUUUAGGUAGUAGUUUUUUUGUGUUAUUUUUCUCUCACAUUGUACUUUAGGCAUGGAUUCUCAGUUCCUGUUAUGUGUUACUGACAAAGAACACCCCAAUAUGUGUUCAGCAACAUCUCCCUAGUACAACAGUGCCCCCAAUGUACAGGUUUUAUGGGUUUUUGCAAACUUACAGGGGUCCAAUGUAGGGCUUGUCCAUGUUUGCACAUUGAAAUUUGACAGAUUGGUUUGCUGGGCCUAUGUUGCCUUUGACACAGUAUAGCAGCCCAGGAAUUAAAAUUAACCCCAUCAUGGCAUACCAUUUGUAAAAGUAGACAACCCAGGGUAUUCCAAAUGGCGUAUUUCCAGUCUUUUGUAGUAGCCACUUAGUCCCAAAUGCUGGCCAAAGUUAGGGUUUUUAUGUUUCAUGACAAAAACUGUAAUUUGUCAAUGCCUGUACUAGCUAAUGCCCUUGAAAAAUAAAGCAUGCGGAUUUUCUUUGCCAAAGCGCGACAGAAAGGCCACCAAACGUGCAGUGACACCGAGAGGAACAAGCAGGCACUACCCAAGCGACAUUAAGAGCACCUCCCAAUUUCCAAGAGUCAGAGGCCUACACGCACGGCAGGUGCGGGAGAGAGACAGAUGCUUUCCCGACACCGCGACAAGCUGCAUAUCUGACAAAAAGCCCUCGUUCCGCCCUUUUUUGACCGGCGGGGGUCAUCCCAGGCCGCCCCCACGUGACGAGCACUCACCUCAGAAAUGUUCCAGGACGCAACUCAGACAUGCAAGAGCCACAAGGCCUAGCCAAGACGGCACUGCGGUUCACACAGUGAAACAGACUUCCAGCGACUGGGCAGCAGCCUUCCAAGCAAAGUUCGACGAUGUAUGCAGGCGAUUCUGUAAGCAACUGGAGAGUAGGAGACAGCCUGUUAGUAACAAACCCAAAGUACCCACUACGAGACGGCCGGCCAGGGCUACGUCCUGUACAGGGCUAAGCAAUGGGGUGCUGCUGGAAAGACCUCAACCUGGCAAAGCUACAACUGCACCAUACUCCACUAUUGUCCCGCCCGGGAUUAGAUCCACACGGGGUUGACCCCCCAUAACCAUCCACACCUGCGGAGGAAUGCAAGACACAUGAUGAAGCGUCGGGUAGCAACCCUGCGCAGACCCCCACCGCGGAAGGACUUGGCACCAAAGUGGCACAGAGUCCAGGGUACAGUGGUACAGGCUCCUGUAAGAACCCGAGGCUGGAGGGGUACCUCACCCAGAAAUCCACUCCAAACCUGCAACCAAGACCUCCAGACUAGGCAUCAGCUAGGCGUGUGUGGACUGACUUACCAAGCUACUUAUAGCCUUAGCCCACGUACACACUGUGAGAACUUUGUAUUUCCUUAGAUGUUAUUUUGCCUGUUAGCUAACUCCUGGUAUAACCUAAUACUAUUUGCCUAGUUCCAGAAUCCCUCACCUGUUAACCUAGUCUAAGAAGUCUAUGCUAGCACAAUCCUGAAUGUUUAGACAUAACACCUGUUUAUAGGCUUGCAGAAACUGUUAAGCAGACAUAUGACUUCAACAUUGUAACAGGCACCACAGCACAAGCGUGUUUGAUAUUACCAAUAUGGGAUAUGAUAGACCAUGUUUAAGUAACCCUUGCAAACAAACUCCUGAGUGAUUAGUGUAUACAUAUGCCCAUGACCAUUCACUCGUCUACCCCAUUGUACAGCAUGAUAUGUUGCCAGAGGAAUGCCGUUGGUGUACCUUAGGCCUGUAUGUGCCUACCUUAUGCACUGAAAAAAUUAAAAAUAGAGAAUGUAAAAAAAAAAAAAAAAUGUGAAGAGGAGCGACCUAUACAGAGGUCUUUGUCAAGCUAAACCCAAGAGACAGGCAAAUGCCCAGAUGAACAACACAUGACAUAUUACACAGUGUCAUAAUUUAUUUAACCCCUUAACCCCUUAAGGACACAACUUCUGGAAUAAAAGGGAAUCAUGGCGGAAUAUUUCCGUCAUGUGUCCUUAAGGGGUUAAGGACGGAGCCAAAUGUACAAGUUGUGAUCAAAACAAAAUGUAAACGAACCACAGAAUUUGACUCUAUGUCUGUUCAACUAUAAUUUACCUCUUUCAUAUUAAAUGCACCCACAGUUAUUACAUAUUGGUUUGUUCAAGGGAAACAGGUCUUUCAUUCCAUAUCAAACAUUCAUAUAUAGAGCUCCAUUUUAUAUGAAUAAAAUCUAAAAACGUUAAAACAAAUUAAGAAAUUUUUAUAUUUUUCAAUUUCUGAAUGUCAAUUUAACUGAUAAUGUCACAAUACUGUUUGGUUUUACUGCAAUAAAACAAACAUAUUUGUAUUCAGAAAUGUCUCAUGAGUAAAACAGUAACCCCCAUGUAUAGGUUUUAUAGUGUUUUGGAAAGUUACAGGGUCAAAUAUACGUCUUGUUUAUUUAUUUAUUUUUUACAUAGAAAUUUCACAGAUUGGUUUGCUGGGCCUAGGUUGCCUUUGAGACUGUAUGGCAGCCAAGAAAUGUAAGUUACCACAUCAUGGCAUACCAUUUGAAUAAGUAGACAUCCCAGGGUAUUCAAAAUGGGGUAUGCCCAGUCUUUUGUAGUAGCCACUUGGGCAUAAACGCUAGCCAAACUUAGUGUUUUUUUUUCUUCUUAAUUUUUCAAAUAAAAACUGUACUUUUACUGAUAAUAUUAUUGUCAGUAUAUAGUUUACUGCCCCGAAACACUCCUAGUUCUAUUAAGUGAUGUCUCACAAGCACCACGGUACCCCCCAUGUAUAGGUUUUAUGGGGUUUUUGAAAGUUACAGGAUCAUAUAUACGGCUUAUCCAUUUAUGCUUUUUCACAAUGAAAUUUGUCAGAUUAGUUUGCUGUGUCUAGGCUGCCUUUGAGGGCAUAAACGCUAGCCAAAGUUAGUGGGGUUUUUUUUUUUUUUUGCGUUUUUCACAUAAAAACUGUACUUGUACGGAUAAUAUUAUUGUCAGUAUAUAGUUUACUGCCCUGAAACACUCCUAGUUCUGUUCAGUGAUGUCACACAAGCGCCACGGUACCCCCAUGUAUAGGUUUUAUGGGGUUUUGGAAAGUUACAGGGUCAAAUAUACGCUUAUCCAUUUUUGGUUUUACACAUUGAAAAUUGGCAAAGCGAUUAUCUGGGCCUAUCUUGCCUUUGAGAGAGCAUGGCAGCCUGGGUAAUAACAUUUCCACUAUUAUGGCAUACCAUUUUUAAAAGUAGGCAACCCAGAGUAUUUCAAAUGGUGCAUUUUAAGAUGUUUGAUCUAACCACUUUAUCAGAAAUGAAGGGCCCACACAGCGGUAAUAGUUUUAUUUGUGCUAUUUUCCACACAUGAACUCAUUUUUCACAGGACAUUUCCUAUUCCUGGUAUGAGUUAUUGCAACAAAGCCUCACUAUUUUUUUUUAACAUUGCCUCCUGAAUAUAACAGUACCCCCAUGUACUGGAUUUUCUGUUUUUUUGGGGAAGUCACAGGGACGAAUAUAUUAGAUGUCUAUUUCAAAGUUGGAAAUUUGACAAAGAGAUUUGCUGGGCCUGUGUGGCUAUUUAGAGAGCAUGGCAGCCUGGGUAAUACAAUUUCCACCGUUAUGGCAUACCAUUUUCAAAAGUAGGCACCCCAGAGUACAACAAAUGGUAGACCUUGAGAUGUUUUGUCUAGCCAUUUUAACAGAAAUGAUGGGCCCAUGUAGCAAUUUCUACUUUUUAUUUUUGUCGUUUUAAUCACAUAAAUUGCAUUUUCACUAGAAAUGUCAUAAUCCUGGUAUUUGUUAGUGCACUAAAAACCUCAGUAUUUUAAUUUAACACUGUCAUCUGAAUAGAACGAUACCUACAUGUACAAUGUUUCCAGGUUUUUAGUAUAUCACAGGAAUAGUACAGUACCCCCACAUACACUUUGAUCUGAAGGCAGAGAGAGGCAGAUAGAUCUUUGACUCAGAUACUGUAGCAUUAACCUUUUGAUUAGUUUUUUGCUUUUUUUGUGAAGGCACAUUUCAAGUACUACAAAUGUAGUAUUUUGAGUCGUUUGGUCUAGCCACUUUAGAAUGGCUAGCAUAAACAGGGACAGACCAAGGUCAGGGGAAUCCAGAAGUCAGAGUAGUCGGUAAAACAAGCCAAUGGGUCGCUACAGGCAGCUAACGAAGCGUAGUCAGGACAAGCCGAGGUCAGGGAAUCCAGGGAAAUCAAGCAAACAAACUGCCAAAGUACCAUACAGAGUGAUUUAGUAAUUCAGCUCUGUAUGGUAGACUUUGAAACAGUCUGUUAUGCAGAGGGCGGGUAGGGAUGGACAGGAGGGGCAAUAAUAACUGGAGUCCUUUCGGACUCCUCUUUUCCAGCAAACACGGCAUUUUCGUUAGGGUGACCUUUUACAGGGUGUGGAGGGGAUUCGGGAAGGGAAAUGUUUGCUGAAAAGUCGUUGGACAUCUUCUGAUUCCAAAGGAGGGUUAGGAUUUGGGGUCUGGGCAAAUAUAAUUUGAGACAAAAUUUGGACCAUAAACUCUAGAAAUGGGCAUGGUCUACCUAUGGCUUCCUUUUUAUAAAGCACAUAGGCAUUGAAAAUUGCAAUCUGGGUUAUGUAGAUUGCAAUUUUCUUGUACCAGGUCCUACUCUUCCGGUUCACCAGAUAGGGCUGUAUGCACUGAUCAGCCAAGUCUACUCCCCCAUAAACCUGCUGUAGUGUACAAUGCACUUCGGUUUCUCCAGCUGCUCAGUUCCACCUCUCACAGACACCGGCACUGAAGUUUCGUUGUGCGUUGUAGACAACAUGUACACAUCUGUCCUAUCGGUGAAGCGAAGGGCAAGCAACUCAUCCUGGCGGAGCGCUGAAAGGGAGCUUCUACUGCGUCUACCUCUUGCCAGGGUUUGGGGGAAACCUCUACGAUUCUUAAGCACUGUGCCACAGGCUACGGUCUCAAAGCAAAAUAGAGUUUUAAAUAACUCUAUGCUUGUGCAAUAGUUGUCAACCCAUAGCCUGUAUCCCUUAUUUAACAAGGAAAGGAUUGGGUCCCAUACUAUCUUUCCACAUGUACCCACAGAAUCAGGGCAUCCUGGUGGGUCAAGAUGGCUAUCCUUCCCCUGAUAAAUACAAAACGCCCAUGUAUAUCAAAAUUUGGAUUCACACAAUUUAUAAAAUUUUACAUCGUAUCGGGACUGUUUAGAAGGGAUAUACUGCUUAAAAAGUAAUCUACCCUUAAACUUAAUUAAGGACUCAUCUAUACAAAUAUUUUCUUCAGAGACAUAAUUUUGGGAGAAUUUGUCUGACAGGAGUUCAAUUAGGGGCCGAAUUUUGUACAGCCUGUCAAACAAUGGGUCAUUUCUUGGGGGGCACUGUGUGCUAUCAUUGAAGUGGAGGAAACGCAGCAGCUGCUCAUAGCGAUCCCUCUUCAUAACCCCAGGGAAAAGAGGGGUAGCCAGGAUGGGGUGCUUGUACCAGUAGGACCUGAUACUCGGCUUUUUGACAAUGCCCAUAACUAGAGUUAGGGCUCAAAAUUUGCACAUUUCUGCGAGAUCCGUGGGGUGCCACAUAUUCGCAGUCAGAUAUUGGUUGGCUCAACCAAUAACUAAAAUACUUCCUCUAAAAUGAACAAAUCAAAAUAUUUUAGGGGCUCACAAGCAUCCACCAUAACAGUGAUGCCAGGGGUCGCCAUAAAUGGGGGAAUAUCUGGGGCUGUCAGGUUUGGGGGCACCCAGUCUUCAUCUGGCAUUGGGCUUGCUGAGCGUCAGUCAUAGCCUCAAUGUCAGAGGCAGUGAUAGUGUCACUGUCUUGCAGAGUGUCACUAUCACUGCCUGCCAGAAUGGCGUAGGCCUUGUCCGCCGAGUAGCGACAUGCCAUUCUAAGGGGGACUACUCAAAAUUAAUCAAAAAAAAUCUAAGGGAGAAAUUACAAAAUUCCUAUCUGCCUAACACCCUACUACCCACCCUCAAAAACCCACAAAAAAUAAAAUAAAUGUACUGAUCGCAGUUUAGGCUGCUGCGACCAGUACUGAAAGGGUUAAUUUAUUUUUUUUUAUUUAUUUUUUUUAAAUAAAAAUAACCCCCCCAAAAAGUGAGCCUGAUCAGAGAGCCCUCUGAUCACAGUGAUCACUGGUACAAUACUGUACAGUAGCGAUACUGUACAGUACAGUGAUCACGGCAGCGGGGAAAGGGUUAAGGGAGAUUUGGGUUGCUGCGGCUGACAAAGGGUAAAAAAAUUGUUAAAAAUAUUAUAAUAGUACAAAUGUACUAAAAUCCCUAAACAGGCUGAUCACAGUGUUAAAUGCUGUGACCAGCACUGGAAGGGUUAAAAAAUUAUUUUUUUUAACUUUUUCUUUAUUUUUGACAAUUCUUUCUCCUACAGGGCUCUCCAGCAACAAUGUCUCUGCCUCUCUCUCUCAGAUCGAAGUGAGGUGAGGAGAGGGGCAGAGACAAUGUGUCAGCCAGUGAUUUAAAAUCAUUGUAACAGUGAUCGAAGUGACUGGCUGUCACUGCGAUCACAAACUGCAUAUCACUACGGAUUGGCCACAGAGGGCCUGCCUGGGUUGCCAGGCAGGUCCCCCCUCUGUGAUCUGCAGUUUGGGAGGGAUCGGGGAAACGUGGGUGGGCUUAAACACCGCAGCGUACUAUGCCGCCGUAAAGGCGUUUAAGCCCAUUAACGCCGGGACGGCAUAGCACGCCAUAAUGGCGUUAACGGGUUAAAAAAAACUAAAGCCAAAAUAGAGAAGGCAUGUGUGAAUAACUAAGUGCACCCUUACUGCUUCCAUAGGAAUUAAGAGGCUAAGUAGCAGACAGGUGCUGCCAAUCAAAUGCCCUUGAUUAACUGAUCAUCAGCAUGUGUGGUUAUCUCUAUAUACGCCUACGCUUUAGCAGUUUGCUGGUCUGGAGCAUUCAGGUGUGUGUUAACGCAAUUCCAAGGAGGAAAUACAUCAGCAAUGAUAUGCAAUUUUGGCUGCACAUCAAACUUUGAAGGGUUAUAAGACCAUUUCCAGACAUUUUAACAUCCAUCAUUCUACAGUAUGAAAGAUUAUUCAAAAGCGAAAAAAAGAUUCAAGACAGUUGUCAAUCUUAGCAGGAGUGGAUGUUCCAGGAACUUCACCACAAGGUCGGACCAUGGAAUGUUCAUAGAAAUUGCAAAAACCAGAGACUUACAUCUCACAAUCUACAGGCCUAGGUUGGUAUGUUAACGUUUAUGACAGUACAAUUAGAAAAAAGACUGAACAAGUGUUGUUUGGAAGGGUUGCUAGUUUUCUCUAAAAAGAACAUGGCAGCACGGUUUUGGUUUGCAAAGUUGAAUCUGAACAAACCACAAGACAUCUGGAACAAUGUUCUUUGGACAGACAAGACCAAAAUGGAGAUCUUGUUUUACAGGCACAGGACUUGGGAACCUUGCAGUCAUUGAGCUGACCAUGAACUCCUCUAUAUAGCAAAGUAUUCUAAUUUUCAAAUAUGAAAUUAUCGGUCUGACAGCUAAAGCUUGACUGAAAUUGGGUCGUGCAUCAGGACAAGAAUCCCAAGCACACCGGGAAAUCUACAUCAGAAUGGCUGAAAAAGAAAAGAAUUAAGGUGUUGCAAUAGCCCAGUCAAAGCCCAUCCCUCAACCCGAUUGGAAUGCUGUGGCAGGACCUUAAAGGAAGUCUAUAGGCACCCAGACCACUACAGCUCAUUGAAAUGGUCUGGAUGCAGUGCCCCUGUACCCCUUAGUCCUUCAAUGUAAAACAUUGCAGUUUUAGAGAAACUGCAAUGUUUACAUUGCGGCACUAAGACAGCCUCUAGUGGCUGUCUACCAGAAAACCACUAGAGUUGCUUUUGGGAUUUUACCGGACUUUAGGUCGCCUUACUGACACCAGACAUACUCACGCUCUGCAUGAGGACACCCAGUGUCAGUGAAAACCCUGUAGUAAAACAUUGAAUCAAUGCUUUCCUAUGGGGAGGGCCUAAUGCGCUCACCGCACAUGUACUUUAAGCUGAAAGAUCUACCCUGGGGAAUGAUCCUCAUGGCAAAAUUGAGCGACCCCAGCAGGGACUGAAGUUCCCUCCAAUUGCAAGACCCCAGUUGUAAGCAUAAUUCAAUGCUCGAUAUGUUACACUCAAUCUUGUCCCGGGGAAGACUUGCCCGCAUGCGUACUGAAUCUAGUCGAAUCCCCAUAAAAAGAAUAACCGUAUCUGGGCCUUCCUUCUUUUUAGGAAGACCGGAAUUCCUAAGGAUUCAAAGAGAGUCUACACACGUGACAGGCUGAAGGGCGGCAGUGAGUUGUUUUCUAUGGUGAGAAAGUCAUCCAAAUAGUGAAUCACAGUCGGACAUCUGCACACAUUAAGCAGCAACCAACACAAAGGUUCAGCAAAAAAAUCAAAUAUUUUGGGGCUGCUCUUCGAGCCGAAAGUGAGCCAGAAGAAGUAGUAAUACAAACCCAACCACUUGCCAUAGUAAGGGGAGAAUGGCGAGCAAUUUGAACGCGAUGACGAUGUUGGUUUUGCUGAGCCAAGCCCCUGUCCCAGCAGCCAAGAUUGCCCCGAUAGCAUUGUCAGUCAUGGAGUGUUGAAAUGAGAAUUCAUGGGAGGGAAUAAGUGAAUUGAGACUGGGGACCGUGGAGGAAUGAGGUGCCGACAGAUCAAUGAUCAGUCUGUGUUUAAGCAAUGUCUUACCCAUGACAAUCCCAAUGGGGUUGGUCCUCCAUGAAGAAAAAGGGGGGGAACUAAAACGCCAUAACACAAAACCCUGUUCCACUUCACAUUUCACCAAAUCACCCACCAACUCCGGGCAUGCCAUCGUUGUGCACAAAUUUCUGCAUUCCAGGGUACCGACGGGCAAUCUAUGGACAACCCAGUGGUGAGAAAAUCAACCAAAUGUUGUGAGGGUUGAUGACGGAGCAAAUCAGCAAAUAACGGGACAUUGAUGCAAGUGAGGUAUGGUUUGGGAAACAGUUUAUUGGGGCACAUGGUCCUGGCCUGGAAACAGUGAGCACACACGUGCAAAAAAAGCGACAGGAACUAAACCCACAAUUCCCCGCAUUAAAAUGAUUACAAACUUGGGCCUUGCACAAAUACACGAUGUUCCUGCACAGUUUAUCUUUCAAACCCUUGGUAGACCUUGCUGAGCUAGGGACAACAGGGCUAUGCUCAGUGAGUUGGUGGAGUGAGUCGUAGAGGCACAAAUCGCACAAACCAGGGACCUGAGGCCAGCAAAAUGCCUGCAGAAUAGCUCAGUGUCCAACCUUCUCCAGUUUACACUGCAGUUAAACUGAGCCAGAGCUGCAGCCACCUCCACGGAGAAGGAACGUUGGUAGUCAUAGAAGGCUGAACCACCGUACUUGUGCCCCAUGUCCAUGAGCUUGUGCAAGUAGAUAUCCAGCUCCUCACUUUUUCCCGGAUAAACUGAACAGUACAUGUCUCGGUAGAUCCCGAACCCCAGGACAAAUUCGGGUAUGGACAGCUUUUUGUUGAGCCUAGGGUCCCUAGGCCUCAGCACUACCGAUAUAUCCCCAUACGCGUAAGUCCUAUUCUCUAUGACAUCCGGAGCAGACCAGGUUGACACCCCUGCCCUCUAGGGUGUCCUUUUUUAGAGCAGCGGGGACCAAAUGCGAAGGGUUAAUGUUACCAUGGGCCUGAGAAGACAUAAGGUCGUUACCCGGUGAGGCUGAUUGACCCCACAGGCACCCUAGAGGAACAGACCGCUUCCAACUUCUCCAGUUGGUCACUGACAAGUGCAGUAGAAGACAUCAGUGAUGUGAGCAUGGCAUGAACGUCUGGGAACCGCUAGGGCCUUCCCCAGCCUCCGAGUUGUCAGUAUCAGUGUUCAGAAGCCUGAAGAGUUCCACCUUCCUACCCGUAGCCGGAAACAGGAUCCCCCGUCUGUGGAGCUCAGUUGAGAGACGCGGGACACUCCAUGACCUCAGGGAAGCUGGACUAACCGCCUCUGUACCCAGGGCAGGGGCGCCGUACCUAGCAGGGGUUCAGGGAAGGAAUAGUUCUUCCAAAGCGUCAGGAAUCUGAGACAUACUGAAAUACAUAUACAUAAGCAUCACAUGCAGCAAAAACAUAAUCAGGUACUGGCCGGCUGACAAAUGCCAAGCGGCUUGAGAGGCUCUAACUAUCAGUUGGUCUGAGGGGAGUUAGAUGCCACGGAAACGCAAAUGGCAGGGUGAUGGCCUCUCGGUGAAUACUAAAGCAUAAGAUAGAAUGGAAGUGACAGGUGAGGCCCUCCCUAUGAAACAAUGCGAGGCGAAUAAUUAUGCAUUGGGCCAAUGACGUCAUCCACCGAGUAUGAGGGGUACCUCCGAUGGGUGCAGAUUACGUCAGAGAGCCAGAAACAUAACCUAUGUGGCUGUCCUAUGUCCCUUCAGGCCAGUACUAACAACUAAAGGAGAAAAACUAAAGGGGGGGAGGGGAGGGAAAGACAUAGGACCUCCUGAUGUCAUACCUGUGCUGGGUACAAUCCUUAACGGAGCUUCACAGCAGAAUAAAUGCGAAAGGUAGGCGAGGACACGUAUCUCCAACAUACGACGAAACGUGAGACUGUAACUGUGUAUGAGAUAGGUACGUACGUGCAUAUGUGGGCCAGAUUGUGGACCCGAGCACUAGACACCUACCCCACUCCUAGAAGUGAGGGGGGCCACACAGUGGGAUGCAGCCAUGAAUGGGAGACCCCGAUAAACGAGCCUGUCAGGUGGUAUGUACAUCUAUAGAAACAUGAGACGUUAAACGAACAAGCAGGAGAAAAAGGACCAAGCCAGUCGACAGAACCGAAUCACCAACCUAAAACAGACCUAUAUGAAGGAUACGUCAGACACAGGAACGAGCCCCAGACAAUAGGUCAUGAGACACCCCUAUGGGUAGAAUACUAAAUACAUGAGAUGCGGCCCCAAUAACAUGACAGAUUUACCAGUAAGAAACAAAGCAUGCAAACAGACAGGCACCAUUGAAUGAAAACUCCAACCCGGCCAGCAGGGGUCACCGGAUCACACCAACAACAGCCGGCCCGGGUGCAGCGAAUGUACACACAAUCACCCAGACAGGAUAGGCACCACGGGAGGAAUUAGGUAAAAGGCAGCGGGAAGCGAGUGGAUCGUAAUUAACAAGUCACUCGCCAGACCAGCGAUGGUAGAAUGGGAGAGGGUUGGUAGCCCUUAUAUAGGGGACCCAAGCCCCUCCCACAACUACAGGCCCAGCUUUAAAUAAAUAUAUAUAUAUAUAUAUAUAUAUAUAUAUAUAUAUAUAUAUAUAUGUGUGUAUUUAUAACAAUUACCAGAUUCAUCAUCAAAACGUAUUGAGAGGUUUACUAAAAUUACAACCUUUGUUUAUUUAAAAAAAAAAAAACAUAUCGUAAUAGAUUGUAAAGUUUAGUCUAAAGUGCAGAUUUAAAAAAAAUAUUAAAUUCAGCAAAAGUCACAGACUAGAGAUUUUAGCCUAAAUUUUGCAAUAGUGUUAAGUGAAUACAACAUAUUGUGUGCAAGAGGAACCAUGUAUAACCUCCUAAUAGCUGCUAACAGCAUUUUAUUUCAUACUGUUAGUAUUGCAGACUAGUGCAAUAGAAUUAGUUAUGGACUCCAAUACAAUCUGAAAUUUUUAGUGUUAAAAAGAAACAAAGCUGACAUGCUAUCAAUCAAAGGUGUCAGAGCAGAGAAAAUCAUGUUAGCAAGUAGCAGGAACCCUCAUGACUGGUAAAAUAAAAAAUGUAUUUGCUCAAGCAGGCUGCUUCCAUCUGUUUCACAUCCUUAUCUACCCGAGGAGAUUAUGAACUAAACUGUGAAAUAUAGUGAAUUGAAUCCCCCGCUGUCAGCCGUUGGGGGAAACCUAAUGCGUAUGUGCGGCAAUCUCUGCGCUCGCAUUAGCACUUCCCCUAUAGGAAAGCAUUAUACAAUAUACAAUACUUUCCUGUGGGGUUUUGGGUGAAACUGGAUGUCUUCAUGCAUAGCGUGAGGACGUCCAGCGUCAGGCGACCAAAAGGCUCUAGUAGACAGCCACUAGAGGUGGAGUUAACCAUCAAAGUUAAUUAUUGCCAUUUAUUAAAAACUGCAAUAAUUACCUUUGCAGGGUUAAGCGUCAUAGGACACUGCACCCAGACCACUUUAAUGAGCUGCAGUAGUCUGGGUGCCUAUAGUGUCCCUUUAGGUCAAAAUCGCUGAUUGGGAUCUGUGAAAAGUUCCUGCUAAUUCCAUUGAAUUCUAUGGCGGAUAUACUUCCCACUUUUUUACAUAUCUCUCUUAUUUUGUGCAGUCUUAUUAAAUUCUUAUUAAAACAAAUUAUAUGAAUGUUUGUGUUAACAACAAAUUAUGAGUAAGAAAUAUGGUCAAAAUAAAUGUCAGUGCAUUUUUGUUAUCAUGAUGAGCAUUUUCAACAGUGUUAUGUUUUAAAUAAACCUUCUAAACAUGUUCAUUAUGGUUUCUCUAUAGUAUUUAUUUUUAUUUACAUCUCACUGAAGGUUCACUAAAGUCACCCAAGCCACUUCAUCUCAAUUCAAUGAAGUGGCCUGGGUUACAGUGGUCCUGUCAUUUUAACCCUGCAAUAUAAAACAAUGUCAUUUUUAAGAAACUGCUUUUUUUCCAUUUCAUGGUUAAAUUCUUCUCUAAUGGUUGUCAGUAUAUCGCCCACUAGAGGCACUUAUGUGGCACUGGAUGCACCUGUGGCACCCAGCGCUUAUGUGCAUCAGGUCUGCAAUGCUCCUCUAUUAGAAACAUUGGAUUGGACCAACGUGGAGGAGGCCAUGCCAUCACGGGAGGUGAAGUGGUGGCCGGAAAAAGGUAAGCGCAUUUUAAUUUCUCUCUUUUUUUUUUUUUAAUGGGAAACAGGGGUCAGGGACACUAAAGCAUUAUGAAUACAGUUUUGUAUUCCGAAUGCUUUAGUGUUCCUUUAUAAACUGUUGUAACACCUUCGAAUGUUCAUUAAAGUGGGUGAUAUAAUUUACCAAACAUACAGUUGCGAGAAAAAAUAUGUGAACCCUUUGGAAUGAUAUGGAUUUCUGCACAAAUUGAUCAUAAAAUGUGAUGUGAUCAUCAUCUAAGUCACAACAAUAGACAAUCACAAUCUGCUUAAACUAAUAACACACUAAGAAUGAAAUGUUGCCAUGUUUUAAUUGAACACACCAUGUAAACAUUCACAGUGCAGGUGGAAAAAGUAUGUGAACCCCUAGACUAAUGACAUCUCCAAGAGCUAAUUGGAGUGAGAUGUCAGCCAACUGGAGUCCAGUCAAUGAGAUGAGAUUGGAGGUGUUGGUUACAGCUGCCCUGCCCUAUAAAAAACACACACCAGUUCUGGGUUUGCUUUUCACAAGAAGCAUUGCCUGAUGUGAAUGAUGCCUCGCACAAAAGAGCUCUCAGAAGACCUACGAUUAAGAAUUGUUGACUUGCAUAAAGCUGGAAAGGGUUAUAAAAGUAUCUCCAAAAGCCUUGCUGUUCAUCAGUCCACGGUAAGACAAAUUGUCUAUAAAUGGAGAAAGUUCAGCACUGCUGCUACUCUCCCUAGGAGUGGCCGUCCUGUAAAGAUGACUGCAAGAGCACAGCGCAGACUGCUCAAUGAGGUGAAGAAGAAUCCUAGAGUGUCAGCUAAAGACUUACAAAAGUCACUGGCAAAUGCUAACAUCCCUGUUAGCGAAUCUACAAUACGUAAAACACUAAACAAGAAUGGAUUUCAUGGGAAGCCACUGCUGUCCAAACAAAACAUUGCUGCAUGUUUACUGUUUGCACAAGAGCACCUGGAUGUUCCACAGCAGUACUGGCAAAAUAUUCUGUGGACAGAUGAAACCAAAGUUGAGUUGUUUGGAAGAAACACACAACACUAUGUGUGGCGAAAAAAAGGCACAGCACACCAACAUCAAAACCUCAUCCCAACUGUGAAGUAUGGUGGUGGGGGCAUCAUGGUUUGGGGCUGCUUUGCUGCGUCAGGGCCUGGGCGGAUUGCUAUCAUUGAAGGAAAAAUGAAUUCCCUGUGUAUUUACAGGUAAGAAAAUGAAGGAAAGGGACCUCAGUUGAGAAAAGGAUAAUUAGUCAUUUUAUUACAGUGAGUUUGGAGAGAGGUUCUAUUUCAACUGUCAAAGUAAAGACAAAUAAGUCAAUGGGACCUGAUGGAAUACACCCAAAGCUAUUAAAGAGCUUAGUGGUGUACUAGCAAAACCAUUAACAGAUUUAUUUAACCAAUCAUUGUUAACAGGAGUAGUCCCAGAAGAUUGGAAGUUAGCGAAUGUUGUGCCCAUUUACAAGAAAGGUAAUAGGGAGGAGUCGGGCAACUAUAGGCCAGUAAGCCUUACUUCAGUAGUGGGGAAAGUGAUGGAAACCAUGUUAAGGAUAGGAUUGAUGAACAUCUAAAAACACAUGGAUUUCAAGAUCAGAGACAACAUGGGUUUACUUCAGGGAGAUCAUGCCAAACUAAUCUUAUUGAUUUUUUUGAUUGGGUAACUAAAAUUAUAGAUCAAGGUGGUGCAGUAGACAUUGCUUACCUAGAUUUCAGUAAGGCUUUUGACACUGUUGCACAUAGAAGGCUUAUCAAUAAACUGCAAUCUUUAAGUUUGAAUUCCAAUAUUGUUGAAUGGGUAGGCAGUGGCUAGACGAAGAGCCAACAGAGGUUGUAGUUAAUGGAAUAUAUUCAAAGCUUGGACUUGUCACCAAUUGGGGUAUCAGGGAUCUGUGCGGACCCAUUCUCUUUAAUAUUUUUAUUAGUGAUGAUGUGCAGAAGGUCUUGAUGGUAAAAUUAUGUCUUUUUGCUGAUGAUACAAGAUAUGUAACAGGAGAGGAUAAGCCAAAUGACAAAUGAUUUAGGUAAACUAGAAAAAUGGUCAGAAUUGUGGCAACUGACAUUUAAUGUGGAUAAGUGCAAGAUAAUGCAUCUUGGACGUAAAAACCCAAGGGCAGAGUACAGAAUAUUUGAUAAGAGUCCUAACCUCAACAUAUGAGGAAAGGGAUUUAGGGGUGAUUAUUUCUGAUGACUUAAAGGUAGGCAGACAAUGUAAUAGAGCAGCAGGAAAUGCAAGCAGAAUGCUUGGUUGUAUAGGGAGAGUAUUAGCAGUAGAAAGAGGGACGUGCUCAUGCCAUUGUACAGAACACUGGUGAGACCUCACUAGGAGUAUUGUACACAGUACUGGAGACCNNNNNNNNNNNNNNNNNNNNNNNNNNNNNNNNNNNNNNNNNNNNNNNNNNNNNNNNNNNNNNNNNNNNNNNNNNNNNNNNNNNNNNNNNNNNNNNNNNNNGGGGAGAAAGAGGGGGAAUAGAGAGAUAGGACGGGGGAGAAAGAGACAGAGAGGGAAGAAUGAGACACAGGGGGAGAAAGAGACAGAGAGGAAGAGAGAUGUGGGGGAGAGAGAGACUGGGAAAGGGGGGAGAAAAACAGUGGAAGAGAGGGAGAAAGAGGCAGAGGGGUAAGAGAGACUGGGAAGGUGGGGGGAGAAGAAAACAUACAGAGGGACGGGGGGAGACAAAAAGGCACACAGAAGGACUGUAUAUAUCACUGGUGGAUCCAGGGGGGCAACAGGGCAAUUGCCCCCCCUUCCCUGUCCGCAGGCACCGUGCGGGCAGGGGAGGGAGGAAGAGAGGACCCGGGGACCUCACCCUGCAGCUCCUCUGGGUCCUUCUUGCGCAAGCACAGAGCGUUGCCGCAGUUACCAUGGCAACGUUACCGCUCUUGCGAGAGUCAACUCUAGCCCUGGUCACAGUUGUGAGAGUGAACUCUAGCCCCAUAAACACACUGCCCCCCCACAUACAACAUACACAUUUACAUACAUUGCCUCACACACACACAUACACUGCCCACCCAUAUACACACAGACCCCCAUACACAGCCCCCCAUACUAACAUUGCCACACACAUACACUGCCCACACACCCUACACAUUCACACACUACACCCCCACACACACACUGAACCUUUCACACACAUUGCACCACUGUUCCUAUUCCCUACUACAGCCCCAUAUCCCAGCAGACCCCAGGUAAGUUGUCAAACUGUUCUUAAACGGUUUGACUACUUACUCUGGAGCAGUAGUGGUUAUAGUGGUUAUUUCUUUAAAUAAUCUACAAGUGCCCCAGUAGCCAGCCAGCCAGCCCACCCACAGGCUGGCCAGUAGCCAGCCAGUUUGCCAGCCGCAGUCAGCAAGCCCGCAGCCAGCAAGCCCACAGACUGCCAGCCAGCAACAGUAAUUAAGGUAAGAGGAGCCAACUUGGCCUAGGUAUCAGUGAGCUAUGUUGUGUUGCUAUAUUGUGAAUAGGAACCAGAGUGUUGGAGAGACCACUCUUCAGGCCCCAUUAGACUCCAUUGUAGUCUCUAAUGGGGCCUGGAGGAGAUUCUUUCUAACACACUCUCUAAAGGAAACUGAGAUAGCAUCUCUUAGAAAUCCCCUCCAUGGCCCAUUAGCCCUCAAUUGUAGUCUCUACUGGGGCCUGGAGGCGACUGUUUCCAGCAGGGGCUAUAUAAUGGACGCUGAGAUGGCCUCUGUUAGAAAGACCCCCUUUCAAGCCUAUUAGAAUCCAUUGUAGUCUCUAAUGGGGCUUGGAGGAGAUUCUUUCUAACACACUCUCUAAAGGACACUGAGAUAGCCUCUGCUAGAAAGACCCCCCUCCAUGGCUCAUUAGCCCUUAAUUGAAGUCUCUACUGUGGCCUCGAAGGGAUUAUUGCACUUUUGUUCCUUGUGUCUAAAGAUUGUGUAGGGUGUGGCUGGAGGCGGUGCAUGGAGGCGGGACAAGGGUGGCGCUUGCUGCGGAGUAUGGGUGGGGCCUGUAAGGGGGCCCUUGAUUUAUUUUGCCCAGGGGCCCUGAGGGUUCUCAGUCCGCCCCUGUGCACGUCUAAACUGCAACUACGGGAAACGUUUGGUUGAAGUUAUUGCUGCCAAAGGAGGUUCAACCAGUUAUUAAAUCCAAGGGUUCACAUACUUUUUCCACCUGCACUGUGAAUGUUCACAUGGUGUGUUCAAUUAAAACAUGGCAACAUUUCAUUCUGUGUGUGUUAUUAGUUUAAGCAGACUGUGAUUGUCUAUUGUUGUGACUUAGAUGAUGAUCAGAUCACAUUUUAUGACCAAUUUGUGCAGAAAUCCAUAUCAUUCCAAAGGGUUCACAUACUUUUUCUUGCAACUGUACCUGUAAAUGUUAAAUGUUUGUACUGUAAUCUAGAGAGUAUGGCCACAUUUUUCCAUGUAUGCUUAGUACUUAUUGUAUAAUUGCUGUGUCUUAUGAUUAAUGUUUUUCAUACAAUUUGUGCUUUAUUAAAAACAAAAUAAAAUACUUCUUUCAGCUUAUCAAAGUGCAGUUUCCAAAGGUACAAGUUUGAAAUUAAGUUAAUCAUUCAAAUUAAGUAUCAUUACAGAGAUAAUAUUUCAUAGGCUAAUUAAGUGGUUCAGUGCCUAUUUAACCCAUUUAGUAUAAAAAAAAAAAAUUAAAAAAAAAACAGAAUAAAAAAAACAAGUACAGCUAAAGAAAUGUACUUCAAAAUAUUUUUUUUUUGUCCUGAUUUAUAGAGUACAUUGUAUUUUAUUCAGUUUGGAUGUUACAGGUUACAAAUUACAAGAAGCACGAGUUUCAAAGAUUACAUUUUUCUAAAUUAUUUUUUUUACCCAUAGGUUAUCAGCAGCCAUAGAAACCAAAUAGCCGCACACACGUAAUAUUAUUUUUAUGUAGGAGUAAUUAUCUAGGAGUAAUUUGAUAUGUUACAUUUGACUUUUGCUGUAGCAACAAUCUAUGCCAAUAUUUGUCGUAAUAUUAUGUAUAUUGUAUUUUCUCACAUGUGACCACACAUAGAAUUACAUUAACCUUUUUAACUACAAAAUGAUAUGAUUUGAUUCUUUUCCACACAUAUUAACUAUUGUUUCCAUGAAUAAUCUGUUUGUACAAUAAAGCAAGUAUAACAUAUAUAUAAAAAUAAUAUCUAAUUAAAUCUGAUAGAUUAUUCUUACUAUAAAUCUUUUUUUAUUGUAUAGUUUUUUCUUUGUAUAGUCUUGUUACUUAACAGAUUACCACCAACCUGAUUGUACUGAGCCUGUAUACAUUUGUUUACUGUAGCUGUGUUAAAAAUUUAUUUUAUACUUGGGUACAUCUAUUAAGUACAGCAAUAAAUUGUAGAUAUGCCUAAUUAAGUUUUCAAACUCCUAAAUUUGAUGUUGGAUUGCAGGAUCUGUCUCAUUUUGGCAGCUCACAAAUUAAUAUUAUUCUAUAAAUCCAUACAAUUUGCAAAAGUAGAUAUCUUGGGAUAUCUAGAGCCUUAUGAUGGGGUAUUUGUCACCAAUUUCUUUUUUUUAAAAAUAAAUUCUUUAUUUAUAGUUUUUAAAAUUUUGUUGUGUCGGAAUUAAGGGUUACAGAAUAAAAAAUGGAAGUGGGUAUAAGACAUGAAAAGUACAGUCUUUUUGACAUUAAAAAGGAAGAGUAUAUCACUUGAAUGUACAACAUACAACAUAAGGGCAAGUAGUAUAAACCCCAGGAUCUGCCGAUGUUACCUGUGGAAUCUGGUACAAGUUUGUCAACAUGAAAAAAAAAAAAAGAAGGAAAAAACAGAGGUUUUAGGUAAAAUAGGGUACAUUGCAAUGCAAGACAAUAUCACUAUGCAACCUCAUAUUGUAUUAAGCCUUGCUUUUUUUUUAACAUUAUAUUGGUCGGUGGCAGGGCUUAGGCGCCCAAGAACCAAUCUGGUGUGUGAUAAUGGUCGUGGUUUGGCACGCUUAUGAUAGUGCUAUGUGGUCAGGGGUCUGGUGGGGGUUACUUUGCUAAGAGUGGGAACAUAGGUUUAAGCCACUGUUUAACAUGAUCGCAGGCUGCGGGGGUGCUUGAGUGUAGUGUUAGCUUAAGGGGUUUGAGUGGUUCACUCACUGGAGCUGAUCAAUUUAAUGAGCCAGGGUUUGGGACUACAGAGCCCUUGGAGCCCGGAGCGGGUGAUGGGUGGGUUAGUUAGUGUUGUCACUGGAGGGUGGUUGUCGCUUCCAGCGAAGCUUGUGGAGAUGUGGGUGGUUGUAGUUUGGUGGUUGUGUAGGUGGCCAACAGUCUGAGUAGGGGGAGUUGCUGGAUGGGGGUCUAGAUGGGAAGUGUGGGGAAGGGUAGAGAGGUAGGUGGAGAGGAGGGGGCUGGGGAACUGAGAGAAAAAAAAAUAUAAGAGGAGAAAGGGUUUGGGUGCGGAUCAGGGUGGGGGUUUCCCCCCCACCUAGUCCCUUCCAUGGAGGAGGUGUUAGGUGGGGAUUGGGAAUUAGAAUAUCCAGGGUUCCCAUAUUUUUUCAAAAUGUUUAGUGGUGUCAUGUACAAGAACUGAGAGUUUAUCCAUUUUCAUGGCGUCAUUUAUUUUGUAAAGCGGGGAACUGUCCUGUGUAUUCUGAGUGGGAGAGUAUAUCGUAGAGAUUUGUCCCUUUUGGACAGUAUAUUUGCCGCAAGCUUUUUCAAGAGGUGUUAGGGGGGUGGUGCUCGCUCGUUUAUAGUUGGGUUCGCUUAGGAAUCUGAAUGUAUUGAAAGAAGUCGUGGGUUGUAAAUGGGGUUUGCUGUGGGAGGUCAGCAAAUGGUAUAUGCUGUUGGUUCAUGUAGAAUUGGUGGAUUCGGGACAAGUCGUUAUCAUCGAAAUGUAUGAAGUCUCUAGGGUCCAUGCCGGGAGUAAACUGCGUGUUUCUGAGGAUAGGCAUAAGUAGGGAGAGGUUUCAUACGAGGUUGAAUUUUGCCGUUGCCUUGUCCCAUAUCUUGAUUGAUGUGAGUAUUGCCGGGGAGGAGGAAGGAGUAGGAGGUUUAGCUUGUUUUGGGAGCCAAAUAUAUAAUGCGUCCCUCCCGAAGUUGUGUUCUAAGUCUACCUAACGUUUAAGGCCAAAUGUGGCAAAGUUAUUGUGAAGUUAGGUACUCCUAACCCGCCGACUUUAUUCGGGACAUAAAGUGUGAGGCAUGUAAUCCUGGUCCUUUUGUUGGCCCAAAUGAUUCGGUCUAUGUCAGUUUGUAGCUUUUUGAAGUCGGAUGUUGAGAUGAAUAUCAGGAGGGCCUGGAAGAGGUAUAAGAACCUCGGUAAGAGAUUCAUUUUUAUAGAGGCCACACGGCUUAGUCAUGAGAUUGACAUGUCCUUCCAUUUCUCUAGGUCCUGUGUGGCUUUGUCAAGCAGGGGUGUAUAGUUGUGAUUGUAGGUUUGUGUGAGGUCGGCGGGAAGUAUCGUGCCUAAGUAUUUAAUGGUGGAAGUCUGAAAUGGGUAUUGCGAUUGUAGGGCGUUAAGUGUUAGGUGUUCUAUGUGUAUUGAUAGGGCUUUGGUUUUGUCCAUAUUUAGUUUGUAGUCAGAAACUGCAGCGUAGUUGUCUAGUGCGGUUAUGAGAGGUGGGAGAGAGCGUAGCGGGUAAGUUACCAUUAGGAGCAAGUCAUCUGCAUACGCAGCUAUUUUGUACUCUUCGCCGCGAAAAGUCAGGCCGUGGAUGUCAUCGUGUUCCCUAAGUAGUUGGAGGAGAGGUUCGAGGCAUAAGGCAAACAGGAUCGGGGAGAGGGAGCAGCCUUGGAUUGUUCUAUUCAGUAUUUGGAAGGAUGGUGGUUUUGAGGAGUGGAGAAAUAGAUUAGCUGUGGGGGAGGAGUAUAGCAUGCGCAGGGCUUCAAUAAAGGAUUGUGGGAAGCUGAAUUUUCUGGAGCGCCGCAAAGCGGAAGGGCCAUAGCAGUCUAUCAAAGGUCUUUUCUGCGUCAAGGGAUAGGACCAGGGUGAAGAUCUUUCGGUGGUUAGCAUACCAAAUUAGAUCAAACGUGCGUCUGGUGUUGUCGCUAGCUUGUCUGUUUGGGAUGAACCCCACUUGGUCCGGGUGGAUACGUUUUGGUAGGUUAAGUCUCUCUGCCAUUAGUUUUGUGAAUAACUUGAUGUCCACGUUGAGUAGUGAAAUUAGCCUAAAAUGACUAGGUUCUAGGUGAGAUUUGUCAGGUUUGCGGAGGAGGCAGAUGUUUGCCUGGAGCAUGUCUGGGGGUAGUUGGUCGCCGGUCAGUAUUGGGUUGAAAAGGUUAUUUAAAUGUGGGAGUAGUGAGGGAGCAAAGUUUUUGUAAUACAGGCCUGAGAAGCCGUCCGGGCCGGGGCAUUUAUUUGGUUUCAGUGUUUUGAGAGUGUUGGCUAGUUCUUGGGUGAUUGUUGCAGUUAAUCUCCCUGCCCCUUCGGGAGUAACUGAUGGUAAUUUAACAGAAUUUAGGUAUUUAUCGAUCUUGGCAGUGAUCAGGUUAGGGUCACGUCAGUUCUGGGGGCUGUGGUCAUAGAGUGCAGAGAAGUACUCUUGAAAUACCGCUGCUAUUUGUGCCGGUGUUUCAUGUGUGCGUCUGUCUGGGGAGUGAAUCUUAGCGAUGUGUUUAUGGGUUGCCCUGCUGUUAAGUUUGCGGGCGAGUAGGGUGUGUGCUUUGUUGGACUUAUGGUAAUACACCCUGUUCCAAAUUAUUAUGCAAAUUAUAUUUUUCUCAUUUACCUAAAUAAUUGAUGUAAAUAACAUUCAGCAUAAUUCUCAUGUUAUCAACUAUUAAGAGUACAAUUCAAAUUUUAUUGAACAAACCUCCUAAUGAUAAAAAAAAAAAUACUGUUACCCUAAAAAAAAACAAAAAAAAAACUUACAAUGCACUGUUCCAAAUUAUUACGCUCAGUAAGUUUCAAAACACUUUAUAGGUUGUAAAGAACUGAAAAUUGUCAUUUGUUGUGUUUGCAGCAUAUUUACUGAAAUCAAAAGCUAUUUCAAUCAAACUUAUAACAACAUUUUAACUUUUUAAACAUUUUAACAGGUCACGUUACAUUUUAACAUAGGACCCCUUGUUUGAAAGCAGCUUCACCAGUCUUGCAUCCAUUGAACUUGUGAGUUUUUGGACAGUUUCUGCUUGAAUUUUUUUGCAAGAUGUCAGAAUAGCCUCCCAGAGCUGCUGUUUGGAUGUAAACUGCUUCCAACCCUCAUAGAUCUUUUGCUUGAGGAUGCUCCAAAUGUUCUCAAUAGGAUUGAGGUCAGGGGAGGAUGGAGGCCACACCAUGACUUUCUCUCCUUUUAUCACCAUAGCAGCCAUUGAUGCAGAGGUAUUCUUUGCAGCAUGAGAUGGUGCAUUGUCAUGCAUGAAGAUGAUUUUAUUACGGAAAGUGUAGUUCUUCCUUCUGUACCAGGGAAAAAAGUGGUCAGUCAGAAACUUCACAUACUUUGCAGAGGUCAUCUUUACACCUUCGGGGACCCUGAAGGGGCCGACCAGCUCUCUUCCCAUGAUUCUGGCCCAAAACAUGACUCCACCACCGCCUUGCUGACAUCGCAGCUGUCCACCAUCCACUACUCCAUCCAUCUGGACAAUCCAGGGUUGCACGGCACUCAUCAGUGAACAGGACGGUUUGAAAAUUAGUGUUCAUGUAUUUUUCUGCCCAAUGCAGACGUUUCUGCUUGUGAGCCAAUAGAAGGUUUAUGCACAGUUGCAAGACUCUGGAGGACUCUACACCUUGAUGUCCGUGGGACUCCAGAGGCACCAGCAGCUUCAAAUAUCUGUUUGCUGCUAUGUAAUGGUAUUUUAGCAGCUGCUCUCUUGAUCCGAUGCAUGGAUCUGGCAGAAAUCUUGCUCAAUGUGCCUUUAUCUGCAUGGACCCGUCUGUGCUCUGAAUCAGCCACAAAUCUUUUAAUAGUGCCAUGAUCACGCUUAAGUUUUCGUAAAAUAUCUAAUGUUUUCAUACAUCGUCCAAGGUAUUGAACUAUUUCACUCUUUUCGGCAUCAGAGAGAUCCUUUUUCUUCCCCAUAUUGCAUGAAAAUGGUGCUCUGCUUAAUGUGGAACACCCUCUUUUAGUAGUUUUUCCUUAAAUUGGGCUCAUCUGGCAAUCUAAUUAUCACAGGUGUCCGAGAUUGUUUUCAGUGAUCAAAAGAGCCCUGAGACACAAUGCCAUCCAUGCGUUAAACCAUGGGUCGUCAUCCAGAGAGAUGAAUGCUCUGUUCAUCUCUCACGCACUAAGUGUUAAGCAGUAAGUGCGAGGUUGCAGAACGCUCGCGCAGGGGAAGCACGAAUGCGUGCGCUCGUGAACAAGUGUAACACGCAGGUAGAAGAAGGGGAGGAGUUGGAUUAGGUAGGAGAAAGGAGAAAGAAGGAAGAAGGAAAAUAAAAAAAUAUAAAAACGAAAAGGAGAGAAUUGUUGUUGGAUAAUAAUAAUAAUAAUAAUAAUAAUAAGUGGGCUACCUAGUAGCUCAGCCUUCCUGCUGGGCAUUGCUAUAAGGAAGGUAAAGACAUAGAAGAAAGGAAAAGGGGGAAAUUGAGGAGGGAGAGGAGGGGAGCUGAUGCAAGGAAGAGAAAUCAUAUUAAGAGCAAACAGAGAAAUCAUCUGAAUAUCACAGAAAGAGGAGACCUUUGUUUGUUCGUUACGAAAAUCGAACCGGAUAUAAAAAUAAAAAAAUGUAGUCUCGCAGCAUCAGCCUCAAGGAUCUCAUUAAUCACCAGUAAAGGUAAUUUCAAUUUACUUUGUUUUUUCAUUAAACUUUAUAAAGUUAACAUUACAAACAUGCAUAAAGUAGAAAUAAAAAGAUAAAUGUACGUACUUUUUUUUUUUUUUGAAAACACCCUCCUUUCUACAAAAUAUUCCGCACUUGCGCAAAAACUGGUGGUCGGUAAGGACAUUUUUCCCUCAAGAAAGAUGCAUUAGUGGGCGGUAGGUAGAAAAAGGUUGACUACCCCUGCGUUAAACUGAAAAACAAAAUAUUUAAUCUUUGUGACACUUACAUAGAAUUUGCAUAAUAAUUUGGAACAGGGUGUAGAGCUGUCGGGUCCAUUGGAUGACUUUUGCGGAGUCUGCUCAUAUGAAGUCCUUUAUGGUGUUUUGAUAGUGUGAUAUUUUGGAAUUUAAGAUUUUAAGAUCAGACACCACAGUAAGAUAUGCAACAUGAUGCAAAUAUGAACAAUAUCACAGUCAAAAGUCAUUAAUUAAGAGCGAUUAUUUUUACAUGUCCUUACAACCAACCAAAAACAUCGUUGACUAUGAGAGACUGGUUACUGCGGCAUCCCACCCAUUUUGAAAUAAGUAAUACAAAGACUCCUGACUGACUAUAAAACACAUGGUAGUAUUUCUCGUUCGUUCCAAGUUCAUUAAACAUUGCUUUUUAUGAUAUGAGGCUUGGCCGAUUAAGGUGCUCCUGAUAACAGUUUUGUAACCAUAAGAUACUAGUCGAGGUCACCGAUUCUUUAUUUAGGGUGAAGUAGUCGGCGAUGGCCUGCGACAUUGACUCUCGAAUAAGAGGGUUGUGCAGUAACGUGGAGUUCAAUCACCAUUGUCUGGUUGUGUCUGGUAAAUUAAGGGCAAGCGUGAUAUCAGCAUGGUCCGACCAUGUAAUGGAGCCGAAAUACAUAGAUUUAACGAACGGUAUUAAGGAGGGAGAGAUCAAAAACAUAUCAAUGCGCGAGUGGGACUGGUGCAGAUGGGAGAAAAGUCAUGUUUGUGAGAGAAAAGUUUGAAAGAGUUUGUCAGAUUUGGCGGUGAGGGGCUGGAGAGUCGCACGGGUCCCCGUACGUCGUCUGUCUAGCGAAGGGGAUGAGGUUGCAUUAUAGUCCCCUCCUGCUACCAGGUGAUAUGAGGAGAAUAGUAGGAAGUGGGCCUGUAAAACAUGCCAGAAGGAGUUACAUGGGACAUUGGGCGCGUAAAUCGAGGCGAAGGCAUAUUUUUGGGAGCCUAUUUUGCCGGCAACCGUGAUGUAGCGUCCUUGGUGGUCAGUGCUAGUUUUCUCAAUGGUUAAGGGCACGAUUUAUGAAGCAUAAUUGCUACCCCAUUUUGUUUGCCUGUUGGGGAGUUAGCUAAGAAAUAUCUGUUGAAAUGUCGGUUCUGGAGGGGAAAUGCCCAAUUUUGGUGGAAAGGCGCCUUCUGUAGGAGAACGAUUUGUGCUUGGGUUCUGGUUGCCCAGCGCAUGGUUUGGUGGCGUUUGGAGGGGUUAUUAAGGCCUUUGCAAUUAAUGGAUAUGCAAGUGAAAAGAGGUUGCAUCAUGGGGGUUUCAUACCACUAAGUUGCUAAUGCUGUUCUGUGAGGUGAGUGUGCCCCUAUUGAGGCAUAAGGGAAGACGAGGCGGAUGGGGGGAGAGGGAGAUAAAAAAAAAAGGGGAGGGGUUUAACCAGGAAAGACAGGGUAGGACAGGGGUGGGGAAUCUGGUAGGGAGGUAGGGGGUGAAAGGUAGUCGAAGAAGUAGUCUUACUUGUAGGCAGCCAGGCCCAGGGAGGACUGAGUUUGUCUGGUGUAACAGUGGUGGUGGGAGACCGGGAAUUGAGUGAGGGGAGUUGCUCCCUGCGUGUGGGGAGAGAUACUCGGUGUACAAGAGUCAAUGGAACACCUUUGUCUGAAUCCACCCCCUGAGCAUGCGUGCCCGUGAAAACUGUUCAUAAUAGGCAAAUGAUAACAAUACACUUAACAGAUUACAGUAUAUUAUAAAAUCUAAAGCAUAACCAUAAAACCAAUGAAUGCCAUGGGAGUCCAUGGUGGAGAGACUGGGAAUGGACAGGUCCACAAAGAGUGCAGCAACCUCACCCCAACAAGAUGGUUGUCUCUGUGGGGCCUGCUGGUGCCGUAUAAUGCGGGUAAUUGGGCAGAGGUUUUGGUAUUGGGUAAUCGGAAUGAGGGGGUUAUGGUAUGGAUCGCACCCUCGGAGUAGCCGCUCUAUGGGAUAUGGCUCAUGGUGCGGGAGCGUGGGGAGGGUCAAACCAGAGGGGUCCCUGUACUGGGCGAAGAUUAAAUGUGGGUCCCUUCCUAAGCCAUAGGAAGCUCAGCAGAGGGUUGGUUGCCCUGGAAGGUGGCCGACGGUGAACAUGGGGGUCCCAGUUGGGUUAGCCCGGUGGGCGCGGCUGCUUUGCUGCGUGGGCGUGGUGUGAGCCAGGGGACGCCCCCAGAGGGCCCCCUGUGCGAGUGUUUAGUGGACGGGACUACCCCCUAUAUGGGAACAUGAUGAAUAAGGGGGUUGUCUCUAAAGCAAGGGAGGUCCCCCCGGGCAGAGCCCCUAGGCACCGGCCACGGCACUGUUCGAGUAGUGUUGUUUCUAGCCUGUCUGAGUAUUACAAGUAUACAUUGAUGUCAUGUGAAUGGCAAAAACAUAGUUUUGCUAAGGAACAGUCUAGUGAGAAACCUCCAUGCCCUACUGUGAAAAUACAGUGGGGACCCUUCAAACUUGCAGUACAUGAUGUUUCCUGACAUGAGGAACAGUGGGAUGUACCGGUCUAUUUGCGCACAUUCAAGUGUUGCUUUGGCCAGGUGGGGGCCUUUCGGGAGCAGUAUCUAGUCGGGGGGAUGGUGUUGAAGGGGUACAAGUUGUUCUGCCCCGUGCUGGGGAUUAUUAUAGGGCGAGGUAUGCCCCCGUACAGGAGCGUGAAGAGCUAGGAGGAGGUCCCCACUAAGAGGAAAGUCCCGAGGCCUUGUGCCGUACCCGCCAGAAUGGAUCAUAUAUACAGUGUUAGCACAUAAACAAUAGAAACAUAACAGUACAUUACAUGGAUUAAUGAAAGACCCACGAGGUCAACAGAAACAACUCGAUAGCUAUUGUAAAAGCCGGGUAGGGGCUGUGGACACCUGCAGGACUAUAUUGCCUGUCAUUAAGGUAUCUAGGCCCAAUUGGAUACCGUAGUAUGGUGUAUGGGCUUGUGUUGGUAAAGUAGGGUUACCCUUCGGGACUGUCUUUGCAUGUCCAGGGCGGGACUGUGUGGGUAUGGAGGCCAGGACUUUUGGUAGGAGUAGUGAACUCUCUGACGGGGUUCAGAUAUAGGGACUCGAACGUGGGGGCAUAGGGGCUAGAAGGCUUCAACUAGCGUGGCAUCAGAGUGCAAGCGUAGGGCAUCUGGGUGCUGGAGCCCCCCCAGGGGGAGAUAUUUAGGGAGAGAGUACGACCCAUAACCACAAAAAGGGGGGGCCUAAUACAGUUACAGGCAACAGUGGGGGUAUAACCUGGUCCGCAAUCCAAGCGGGAAAGGCCGUCCGUAUAAGGUGUGGCAAUAGUUCCAGGGACCGCUUUCAAGUGUUCCCAUGAGAGGUACUCUUCGGGGUCGGUGGGGGUCUCUUUCGUUGCGUCAUACAAGGUGGAAGCUGCUCUGCCCUAUGCUGGUUCCGGGUAGGUCCCUGUGAACCGCCAGCGGUGGGUGCAGGUGGGUAGAGUAAUGGGUUUCCCAGUUGGUUGGCAAAGUCCAGCAUCUCAGCGGGUUGAUUAAGCGUAUGUGUCUGGUCUUCUUUCCGUACCAUGAGUUUAAAUGGAUGGCCCCACAUGUAUUUCCAUCCCAGUUGGGCUAGGGUGGUGGUGAGGGGGUUUGAGCUCCCUGCGUUUCCGUAGGGUAGAUGGUGCCAAGUCCUGGAAGAAAUGCAGUUGCUUGUCUUGGUGGACUGGUGGUUUGUCGCGGGCUGCAGCCAUGAACCGUUUUGUUGUGAAGUGCAGCAGUUUCACGAUGAAGUCCCUCAGCAUGGCAGAGUUAGGCGUAGGGGGCGCAGCGCCCGAUGGGCUCUUUCAAUGGGUGUCCUGUUCAGAGUUGUGGAACAUCGUGGCCACCGAUGGCGGGAUUUUUUUCCUUUUUUUGUUGUCUCCCAUGGUGGUAAUAUGAAGAAUGCCUGUGUGUCUGUAUGUGGUGGUAUCAGUAUCCGUUGGAUGUGCAGGGAUUUUCACUGAUGGAAGCAGAUUGUAUGCUCAGGGGAGCUCAGGACUCAUGCGUCCAUCUUCAUCGGUGGUCAGGCUCUGCCCACCCCGUCACUAAUUUCUCUUAAUUUCUGUUGUAUGCAGUUUUUUCUCAUGCACAUUGUAGUGUGUUUUGUAAACCAGCUACAUUUCCUGAAUACUAAAUUCCCCCAUGUAUACCAAGUUUUUGUGACGUUACAGGGCCCUUUUAGAGAAUUGCACAUUUCAUUCUUUUGAAAUCUACAAUUUUGGUUCUAUGUCCAUGUCUGUUGUGUUGACAGCAGGUAUUGACAGCAGGUAUUGACAGCAGGUGCUUUAGAGAUGUAGAGAUUAGGGGGUUUGAGUAUGCUUAUGCUACUGGGAUUAAGGAUUAAGACUGGAGGUAGGUUUAUCAUUUGUGAGUGUUUAAAGAUAGGGAGUUUAAGAUUAGGAUUAAAAUUAAGUAGACUAUGUGGAUCCUUAGCGUAGAAGGAUUUAGAUUAGAUUGAUAAAGUUAUUGGGUGCAUUGUGUUGGGGGUUAGGGAUAAAAUUAGGGAAUAUAGUUCUUUAGAAUUAAGAAUAGGGGGUGUAACGGAUCACCUGGCACCCCGACUGGGUACCUCCAUUGAAGGAUGCUCCUAGCGCUUCCUGAGGACUCCAAGCACUGCAGCACACAACACAACCACCGCAGACUCCGCAACCACCGUAGCUUGACCGGAGUCUUGCCAUCUUCCUUCCACCGUGGAUCAGCUUCUGUCCUCCAGGACCGUGUGGAAAAGACCUCUUCCUUCCACCCUGUAUGAACCUCCAGCAUCCAGGACUGUGCGAGGAAGACCCCUCCUCCAAGGAGAGAGUGUCAGGAACAAGCUCUUAAAAGAGCUAAGUGAUUCAAGCUCAGGGGACUAUGCAGAGCAUAGCAAUCCCCAGUGUGAUAAUCACAGCUCCCUCCAAUAACGAGACAAGGCUACGUUUAGAGGAAUCAAGAAGAACUGUCUAAACCUUUAUUUUACUUGGGACUAGCCCAUCUGGUCAUCACAUUAACAUUGCUGUGAAAACUCAAUAAAAUCACUGUGACGGACCGCUGGCACUCCGACUGAGUACCUCCGCCAAUCGAUGCUCCUAGUGCUCGCUGAGGACUCCAAGCACUCCAACCGACACCAUCAGCACUGAAGACCCCACUUCCAGCGAUGCAACUGCGCCAGGGUCUCUGUUGUCUCCACUCACCCUGGACCCAAGGCCAGGAUCCAGCUUCCAGUGGGUGAACCUCUCUUUCUCCAGAGAGCAGGAACUUAGUGAUCAUACCCUGGGGAGUAUAGUGAUUAUAGCAAUCCCCAGAGUGUAUUUCUCCAAUCCCCCAAACAUGAGCCAAGGCUUAAUGCUGGAACAAGACUGAUUUACUGGCACACAGAACUCACAAUUUAUGCAACACAAAACUCCUCCUCUGGGCCAGGCUAGAUAAUUGAGCUUCUACAAUACACAAAGCUCAAUUAUCUGCUGGCCAGAAAUAAUACAGUUUUUACAGCAUUCAUAACUUCUAAAAUAUACAUCACAUUCACAUAUUUAUAUGUUCCAAUCAAUCCAUUCAGGGAAACAACAUAUCAAAAAAUGGCAUGAAUCAGACCAGGGGUUCAGAAGUUAGUAAAGUAUCUUUUGGGGCCUGGCUGGCUAUCUGGCCCAAACUGGUUUUACAGAGUCCUCUAGCCUGGAGACAAUGGGGAAAGUAAUCCAAUUAUCCAGGGAUAGAAGCAGACUCCAUUGAGCACAUGUUCCAGGUAAAACACAAAAGGAUACAAAAAUACAUAACUCCUAUCAUACUGAAUUGAACGGGCCAAAUCUCCCAGGGUCUAUAGUCACAGGGCAAGAGGCGAGCAAGCAGUCCUCUCCAGGCACAAGUGGCUAAGGGCACUUUGUCACAAUCACAAACAGUCAAACCAUAUCAGGCAACAUACAGUGACUUAUCACAACACAAUGGCACAUUUCCAAAUAGGUGGGGGAGACAAUAACCAACAGAAAAUAUCUCACAUGUCUGCAGAAUUAGCAAUAUGCAAAUCUACCCGAAUAUGCAAAUGAACCAGUCUUGUUAUUCAGGUAGUGCAUAUUGCUGUUGCUACCAACAGAGGGCACUAUACAAGCUCCAUAGCCAAAUCCACCUAGUUGGUAGCAAACCUCAGCAGUACAGGAGAGCAGGCAAUACAUUACACAGUACACACACACACACGCACACACACACUAUAAACAAUUACAUUACACACACCCUGCACCUAUAAUGGGUACAGGGUGACUAAAACAUAAGAGAAAUAAAGCAACCUACAUAAAUAGUCUGUCUGAAGGUAGAAUACAUCAAAGUGUCAUAGUUACAGGGGAGGAGGCUGGCAAGCAGGCCUCUCCAGGACCAAGUGGCGAAUUGUCACAUGGGGUGUUUUGAAAAAAAUCAUUGAGUGUAUGGAAGGCAUAACUAUUAACUUUAUUACAAGCCUACAAGUAUUCCUCGUCUUCCUCCAGUGAUAUAGUCUUUAAAGUGAACCCAAUAAUUUUGCCAAAAGGUGACCCUCCAUAAGCCAAUCCCCAUUCAUAAAGUUUGUAGACAUCCUAUUUUUGAUGACAAGAGUCAUGCUACAGUGUGCCAUAGGUGCAGUUUAGGGUUAGGUUAGGCAGAUUAGCUCUAUAUCUAGGCAGAUUAGGUAACAAGUGCAGGUGAAAGUCUAUGGGUCAUCCGCAGAGGUCAAAGUAAUUAAGGUCAUCCACUUUCGGGCCUUCCAUUCCCCAUCUAUACUUGACAGAGUUGUCCCUCACUCGUCUGGCAAUUGGAGCCAACUGCCUUUUCUCCAUUAAUACUGUGAACGGGAAAUCCCUGUAGAAAGCUAUCGCACAGCGUUCAAAUUGUACUGUUCCUAAGGCUCUAGAGUGGGCCAUAAUAACAGAUUGUGCCGUGACAUCUCUGGUUACCAUGAUGACGUCCCUGGAGGCCCCUGACGAGGCUGCAGCCGCUUUCUUACUCUGAAUACUGACAUAACCAGUGAGGUGUCUCUCACCCCCUUAAGGCCCAGUGAGGCAAUCCGUCUCCUGUUGAAGGGCAGUAGCUCCUCGCUUCCCACUCUUCCGGGGAUACCUCUUAGAUGGAUGUUGCGCCUUCUGUGUCUGGACUCCAGUACAGCUACUGCUUUUAAACCUGGUGGCUAAACUCUUCCACCUGACACUUAGUCUCCUGCAUCUGGUUGUCUCUGUUUUUUUCCCCUUGUUUAAACUGCAUUGAACUUUGCAUUCAUUGCUCCUAUGUCAGCCUGUGUCUCCUGCAGAUCUGUUUUCCAUGCCUGCCUCAGCUCCAGCAGCAGCUUCUUAAUGUCCCCUUUUGUAGAAGGGAAAAAGUCAUCAUCUGACUCUCAGUCUCUCUGUAUAUCCCCCCGUGCCACUCGAGACCAUGGAAUCUGUGUCUUCCUGAGAUUCUUCAGAGGCCUCAGCCAUGAUUUGUGCCUUGGGUGGUAGUCGCUCCACAGGCUUCUCGAAGGAGAGCCUGAUAUCUGGCAUACCAGAGCCAUCUAGGAAAUGGGAUUUUUUGUACUUACGUCCCAUCUUGUCAUCUGUGGGGUAGUGGUAAAAGGUAAGUGAAUAACUGCCAGCAAUUUAAUAAAUUCGGAUUUAUCUCAUGAGAGCUCUGGUAAAGCACGUCUGGUUCGGCUCGCUGUUGGCCACGCCACCACUCUCCAAACUAUUUAUUUUUAGCUUGUUCCAUUACAAAUAGAACCUAAAGCAUUUUUAUAUCAAGCUGAACCCAACAAUGUGUCAGGGCUUACCUGAGUUGGAGUCUGUAGCGCAGAUAUAUGUGCUCACCCUUGCAAGUAAACACAGGCCAAGGUGGUCAGGUAAGAAUUCACCUGGCCUGUGAGUCGGUGCACGGGGACUGUGCAGGAUGAUGCUCCAAGUCGCAGUGCAGAUACGGACAUAAACAGGAAAAUCGUCGUUGGUAAGCCAAAGGUCAGUGGGUGCCAGAAAUCAGGAUAAACGAGUAGAGAGCAGAGGUCAGAGGAUGCCAGAAGUCAGGGUACACGAAAUAACAAGCCAAGGUCAGGAAUCAACAGGAGAACACUGGAACACGAAACAGCAAUACUAGAACCAGAGUCAAUGAACUGACACUGUCUUCUGGGAGAGGCAGUGUUUUAAAUCUGGCUAAUCAGUGAUCAGCCACAGGUGAACCAUGAUUGACAGGAGCAGUCUCAGAUAAUGUCCAGCCCCCAGUGCUGGAUACAAGGCAAGAUAGACUUUUGGCUAUAUCUUGAGCUGUAUGGUGGCUCGGAGGCAAAAUAGCAGCCCCAGGACUGCAAAGUACCAUGGUUCAAAUCCUCUGCUGGGCACUCCUGGGGUGACCUCGUCUAGCAGACUGGAUGUCGCGGCGAGAACCGUGACACAAUGUAACUAAACUAACCAACUAAAGGUCAGUUGAGGUCUCAUUUGAGUGCUAGCAGGCUCUCUCUGCUUAGGAGAUAGAGCAAGCACAGAUGACAAUGAUCUUGGCCUUGGUGAGCCUUCUCAGUUAAGCAUAGCAAAUACUGCCAUCGGCACAGUUUUCAAGGGUUCCAUAUUUUAGUUUCUGCUGGGGGAUUCUUGGCAAUUUAAAGACAAACUAAAGCAGAUCAUAAGAGAAUGCUGAAAACAGACAAUAAGUGAAAUGGCCUGCCCUUUGUUGGAUCCAUGCUCAGUUCUAGGUAGUUUUAGGUCAUCUUGUGGCAUUAUAGAUAGAACGUGUACCAGGGAUAGGCAAACUCCAGCAAUACAGAUGUUGUGGACUAAUACUCCGAUAGAGCUCGUAGAGAAAAAAUGCUGGCAAAGCAUCAGUGGAGAUCAGUGGCGGCUCUAGACUUUAUGAGGCCUUAGGCGAAUCUCAAACAAGAGGCCCCCCACUAACACUCAUAGUAAAAAAACAUAUAGGGGUUGCAUCGUGUGUAUAAUGAGCUGUACUUAUAAUGUAUGACAGGCUUGCAGCGCUGGAUACAGAGAGCUUGUCUCUGUAUUCACUGUUGGGGUGAGUGUGGCACGGUUUAAGGAGAAAGUGUGACAAGGCAAGGGGAGGUGAGAGUGACAGGAUGAGUGUGGCAUGUCUAGGCAGGAUGAGUGACAGGAUAGGAGAAGUUAAUGUGAUAGGGUGAAGGGGGAUGAGUUUGACAGGGUUAUGGGUUAUGUGUUGCACGGCUGGAGGAGGGAGUGUGACAAGGCGAGGGAAAGUGAGUCGGACAGGAUUAUGUGUGGCAUGGUUGGGCCCAAGUGAAAGGGUUAAUGUGAAAAAGGAUGAGUGUGACAGGAUUUGGGGUGAGUGUGACAGUAUGAGAGAAGAUGAGUGUGGUAUGAUUAGGGGGAUUAAGGUGAUAGGGUGAGUGUAGAAGAGUGAGGGCCGGUAAUUGUGGUAUGGAUGGAGGGGGUGAGAGCGACAAGAUUAGGAGAGGUUAAUGUGAGCAAGGCUGGGUGAAGGGGGCAUGACAGCAUGUGGGGGGUGACAGUGGGUAGGUAAGAGUGUGGGAGGCAGUGUUGGAAAGGGUGACAGUGUGUGCAGGGGCAGUGUGUGGGAGGGACUGUAUGUAUUGGUGACAUAGUGUUGGGGGCUGACAAUAUGGGGUGUAAGUGUGUGAAAGGGUAACAGGGUGAGAGAGCAGUGUGGAGGAUUGUGACAGUUUUCAAGGCAGGGUGUGAGUGGGUGACAGUGAGGAGGAAGAUGGCAGUGUGGGGUAGCAGUGUGAAGGAUGGCGACAGUGUGGGGGUCAGUGUGUGACAGUGUGGGGGAACAGGGUGUGUUACAGUGUGGGAGGGCAAGGUGUGUGGGACACAGUGUAUUGAGGGCAGGGUGUGUGACAGCAUGAGGGGGCAGUGUGUAUGACAGUGUAGGAGGGCAGGGUGUGUGACCGUGUGGGUGGCAGUGUGUAAGCUGGAGACAGAGUGUGUGGGGGGAGCAGGAUGUGCUACGUGCAAGUAUUUUGUGUGAGAAACUGGGGCAGAGUGUGUGGGGGGCAGGGAAUGUGGUGGUCACUGUGGGUGGCAGGGUAUGUGGGGGUCAGGGUAUGUGGUGGUCAUUGUGGGGGUCAAGGUAUGUGGUGGUCAAUGUGGGGGACAGUGUCUAUGGUGAUCAGUGUGAUGGUUAGUGUGGGGGACAGUGUAUGUUGUGGUUAGUGUGGGGGCAGUGUACGUGGUGGUCAAAGUGGGGGAAUGCUAUAUAGGGGGCAAGUAUGUGGUGGUCAGUGUGGGGGCAGUGUAUGUGGUGGUCAGUGAUGGAGCAGUGUAUGUGGGGGUCAGUAUGGUCGUCUGUGUGGGGAGCAGUGUAUGUGGUGGUCAGUGUAUGGGGAAGGGCAGGGCCGUCUUUAACGCGGGGCAAACGGGGCAGCUGCCCUGGGCCCAGUUACUCCUUGGGGGCCCAAAGCAGCUGCCCUAUUUGCCCCGCCGCCCAUAGCCUGCAUAAGAAAAAUCCCCCCCCCCCCAUGGGCCCGCGGUGCUGGUACUGCGGCUGCACCGGGGCCCAUACUCUAAGGAGGCUCACCGGGUGGCCAAUACAUUUAGGGCCACCCGGUGAGCACGUUUCAGCAGGGGCCCGGUCGGGUGCUGUGACCCUUUAACAGCACGACCGGGCCCCUUGCUUUACAGCAGCACUGGGAGGAAGUGACGUCCGCAAGUCACUUCCUCCCUCAGAGAUGAUGAGCCGCGCGGGAGGGAGCCUGUGCCAGGUCGCAGUGAGGAGGCGGACUGAGCAAAGAGACCAAGUCCCCAACUCCCAACCACCCAAGCCAGCACACUUGACCCCAGGGAAGGUAGGAAACUGGAGGGGGGCUUUAAAGUUUGCAUAGGUGUAUUUCAGUAUGUCUGUGUGUGUGUGUCUGUCAGUAGGUCUAUGUGUGUCAGUAGGUCUGUGUGUCUGUGUGCCAGUAUGUCAGUGUGUCUGUGUGCCAGUAUGUCUGUGUGUCUGUGUGCCAGUAUGUCUGUGUGUCUGUGUGCCAAUAUGUCAGUGUGUCUGUGUGCCAGUAUGUCUGUGUGUCUGUGUGCCAGUAUGUCAGUGUGUUUGUGUGCCAGUAUGUCUGUGUGUCUGUGUGCCAGUAUGUCUACCUGGGUGUGCCACUAUGUCUGUCUGUGUGUGCCACUAUGUCUGUGUGUGUGUGUCAGUAUGUGUCUGUGUAUGCCAGUAUGUCUGUCUGGGUGUAUGCCAGUAUGUCUGUCUAGGUGUGUGUCAGUAUGUCUGUCUGGGUGUGUGUCAGUAUGUCUAUGUGUGUGUCUGUCAGUAGGUCUGUGUGUCUGUCAGUAGGUCUAUGUGUGUGUGUGUGUCUGUCAGUAGGUCUGUGUGUGUGUCUGUCAGUAGGUCUGUGUGUGUAUGUGUGUCUGUCAGUAGGUCUGUGUGUGUGUAGUAUGUCUGUGUGUGUCUGUCAGUAGGUCCCUGUCUGUCAGUAGGUCUGACUGUGUGUGUGUCAGUAUGUCUGUGUACCAGUAUGUCUGUCUGUGUGUGCCAUAAAUAUAUAUAUUUAUAUAUAUAUAUAUAUAUCGAUAUAUGUGUGUGUGUGUAUAUGUGCAUACAUCUCAGCAUUCACACACUAACAUCACAUACAAAUACACACUGGCAUUCAAACUCCAAAACACACGUCUGAGUUACAAACCAAAAUUAUAUGUAAACACACCCCUGCAUUCAAAAACCAACACUACACAUAAAUACAUGCUUGCACGUACGCCAACACCACAUACAAACAUAUUCCAUACAAAAACCUGCUAACAGUCAAACACACAACAGCUUAGUGCUAAAUACAAACCUUCAAACAUGGGUAAAUGGAAGAGCCCCAGCUGUCAGUGCAUUGCUGGAGUUGCACGACAGAUGGGGAUCUACCUUCUAAUCACCCGUGCGAUAGGGAGGCUCAAAAAAAUUCUUGCACCUCUCUACUUUAGGUCUGCCACUUUGUUAGGGUGGAGGACGUGAUUGCACGCCUGGUGAGGGGGGACAGGUUCCAGGGGCCCAAGCAAAUGCUUUGCCCAGGGUCCAAUCAAUAUUAAAGACGGCCCUGGGGAAGGGUAUGUGGUGGUCAGUGUGGUCAUCAGUGUGUGGGGCAGUGUAUGUGGUGGUCAGUGUGGGGGGCAGUGUAUGUGGUGGUCGUCAGUGUGGGGGGCAGUGUAUGUGGUGGUCAGUGUGUGUGGGGGCAGGGAAUGUGACUGGCAGGGCAACGUGGGUGCAGUGUAUGUGGUGGGCAGGGUAUGUGGGUGGCAGGGCAACGUGGGUGCAGUGUAUGUGGUCGGCAGGGUAUGUGACUGGCAGGGCAGUGUGGGGACAGGGUAUGUGGGUGGCGGGGCAGAGUAUGUUGGGGCAGGGCAUGUGGGUGGCAGGGUAUGUGGGGGGCAGGGCAGUGUGGGUGGGAGGGUAUGUGGGGGGCAGGACAGUGUGGGUGGGAGGGUAUGUGGGAGGCAGGACAGUGUGGGUGGGAGGGCAGUGUUGGGGCAGGGCAGUGUUGGGACAGCGCAGUGUGGGAGGCAGGGCAGUGUAUGUGGGUGGGCAGUGAGGGGUGGGAGGGCAGUGUUGGGGCAGUGUGGGUGGGAGGGCAGUGAGGGUGGGAGGGCAGUGUAUGUAGGUGGGCAGUGAGGGUGGGAGGGCAGUGUUGGGGCAGUGAGGGUGGGAGGGCAGUGUAUGUAGGUGGGCAGUGAGGGUGGGAGGGCAGUGUUGGGGCAGUGAGGGUAGGUGGGCAGUGUUGGAGCAGUGAGGGUGGGAAAAUAAAAAACACCUUCCUCAAGCGAUGGGAGGGGGCAGGUACCUAAACGUGCACAUACACACUGACUGGCUCUCACACAUACACACACACUCCGACAGGCUCACAUACACACUCAUGCAAUAUGUGAAUAUUGAGAAGGGGUAAGGGCCAAGCUAUAUGGGAGUGCAUGCAUGUAUAUACUGAUAUACUGUAUAUACUGAUCAAAAUUAUAAACGCAACACUUUAGUUUUUGCCCCCAUUUUUCAUGAGCUGAACUCAAAGAUCUGAGACUUUUUCUGUACACAAAAGGCCUAUUUCUCUCAAAUAUUGUUCACAAAUCUGUGUUCGUGAGCACUUCUCCUUUUGCCGAGACAAUCCACCCACCUCACAGGUGUGGCAUAUAAAGAUGCUGAUUAGACAGCAUGAUUAUUGCAAAGGUGCGCCUUAGGCUGGCCACAAUAAGAGGCCACUCUAAAAUGUGCAGAUGUUGCAGGUUUUGGGGGAGCGUGCAGUUGGCAUGCUGACUGCAGGAAUGUCCACCAGAGCUGUUGCCCUUGAAUUGAAUGUUCAUUUCUUUACCAUAAGUUGUCUCCAAAGGUGUUUCAGAGAAUUUGGCAGAACAUCCAACCAGCCUCACUGCCGCAGUCCACGUGUAAGCACACCACCCCAGGACCUCCACAUUCAGCAUCUUCACCUCCAAAAUCGUCUGAGACAAGCCAACCGGACAGCUGCUACAACAAUGGGUUUGCAUAACCAAAGAAUUUCUGCACAAACUGUCAGAAACCAUCUCAGGGAAGCUCAUCUGCAUGCUCAUCGUCCUCAUCGGUGUCUCAACCUGACUUCAGUUCAUUGUCAUAACCAAGUUGAGUGGGCAAAUGCUUACAUUCGAUCGCGUCUGGCACCUUAAAGAGGUGUUCUCUUCACGGAUGAAUCCCGGUUUUCACUGUACAGGGCAGAUGACAGACAGUGUGUACGGUGUCCUGUGGGUGAGCAGUUUGCUGAUGUCAACGUUGUGGAUCGAGUGGCCCUUAAUGGCAGUUGGGUUAUGGUAUGGGCAGGUGCAUUUUAUUAAUGGCAUUUUGAAUGCACAGAGAUACCGUGACGAGAUCCUGAGGCCCAUUGUUGUGCCAUUCAUCCACGACCAUCACCUUGUGUUGCAGCAUGAUAAUGCACGGCCCCAUGUUGUGAGGAUCUGUACACAAUUCAUGGAAGCUGAAAACAUCCCAGUUCCUGCAUGGCCAGCAUACUCACCAGACAUGUCACCCACUGAGCAUGUUUGGGAUGCUCUGGAUCGGCGUAUAUGACAGCGUGUUCCUGGUCCUGCCAAUAUCCAGCAACUUCGCACAGUUAUAGAAGAGGAGUGGAUCCACAGUCCACAAUCAACAACCUGAUCAGCUCUAUGCAAAGGAGAUGUGUUGCACUGCUUGAGGCAAAUGGUGGUCACACCAGAUACUGACUGAUAGUGAUGCACCGAACGGUUCGCUGGCGAAUAGUUCCUGGCGAACAUAGCAUGUUCGCGUUCGUGACAUCACUACUGACUGAAUUUCGGACCCCCCGGACCCUCCCAAUACAGUAAAACUGCACAUUUUAGAGUGGCCUUUUAUAGUGGCCAGCCUAAGGCACACCUUUGCAAUAAUCAUUCUGUCUAAUCAGCAUCUUGAUAUGCCACACCUGUGAGGUGGAUGGAUUAUCUCUGCAAGGGAGAAGUGUUCACUAACACAGAUUUAGACAGAUUUGUGAACAAUAUUUGAGAGAAAUAGGCCUUUUAUAUACAUAGAAAAAGUCUUAGAUCUUUGAGUUCAGCUCAUGAAAAAUGGGGCAAAAACAAAAGUGUUGCGUUUAUAAUUUUGUUCAGUGAAUAUAUAUAUAUAUAUAUAUAUAUAUAUAAAAUGUAAAAUUUUAAAAUUUGCUUUUGGUGGGGGACAGCAUCCAAAGUAUACUACUGUGUAGUGUGUGUAUACCUAAUACAAAUCAGACUUGUGAAUUCAUUUUUUUUCCGAAUUACGAUUAGGCCAAAUUUAGGAUGCUCAGCGUGUCCUUCUAAUUAUGUAACUCUGAGAGCGAUAUAGAAGUGUAACUGAACCAAUAACUUGCACAAUGGAGAAGCAUGUUUUUGAUUCAUGAUGAUUCUAUGUUCUCUCUGUGGCACCAAACAAAGAAAACAUGGAAAAACAUGAUUGCUGAUUAGAGGACAAUCAUGAAAUGUUCAUUGUGUUCGGAGAUAGUGAGAAGCUGAACCAUCACAUAGAAAAAUAUUAGACUACCCAAACAAAGUGGGGUUUUUGUUUUGGACAAAAUGAUUCAGUCAUACUAAUUGCACAGGACUAAUUAAUGUACACAUUUAAUAGGUUUUUAAAUAUGUUUAUACAUCCAUAUCCAACAUAUUUAUUUCUGCCUGUACCCAUCAAAUUGGCAAAACAAGAGACUCUUUAACAUAAGGCCAGGUCUGUUACAGGUCAAAAGCUAGUGAAUGUUAUGCUCAUCACUUAGAUCCAUUUAAAUUAGAUUAUGUUUAUUCAGUUGUCAGCGAACCAGGAUCAUUUUCUCUUUUCAGUCAUUUCAUUGGACAUCCUACUUGGCAGACUCAGAGCAUCCCAAAGCUUUUUAUAUCCAUAGUUACCAUUAUUUAUUGAAAACCAAGUUAAUAAAAGAAACAUUUUGGAAAUUCAACCCCUCAGUGUAACAAUGGUGUACAGACAAUGUUCAGUUUCAAAGUGCGAUAGUUAUGAGCAAACAUGCAUGAUGAUUUAAAUGUUUUUCUCACUGUCAGACAAUUCUUGCUGCCAAAAAGGUAGCAAACAACUCCACUUUGUAUAUUAACUAAGCUUUCAAUUUUUCAACAGAGUCUCCCAAAUGUGGUUCAAAAUCUCACCAUGACAUUGACUUUGGGCAAAACUUCAGUUCCAUAUUGAUGAUAUUUAUUACAAACAAUAUGCAAGUGUUACAGGCUGGUAUCCAGGGAGCUGUGCUUGAUGACAGCCGUAGGUUCUUCUAUAGUAGGUGACAGCCGUAGGUUCUUCUGGAGUAAUCCGGUUCACUGAUAUGAAUUGACAAUCAGAUUUGAAAAAUUUACUCCUAAGUAACCAAGUUGAAUACAUUUCUUAACUCAUUUAUAUUCCUGACUCUAUUGGGGAAAAUGUUCAAGUUUGAUUUCCAUUUCACAAUAAUUUAUUAUUUAG
This 46324-nucleotide long non-coding RNA is filed under the name Pelobates cultripes (western spadefoot toad). The record is from RNAcentral. Lineage: Eukaryota; Metazoa; Chordata; Amphibia; Anura; Pelobatidae.